RNAcentral lists this long non-coding RNA (63685 nucleotides) under Hordeum vulgare. RNAcentral's name for it is "long non-coding RNA (HVUL_LNC003278)". The record is from RNAcentral. Lineage: Eukaryota; Viridiplantae; Streptophyta; Magnoliopsida; Poales; Poaceae.
GUCCCCACAUGUACAUACUUACAAAGUCAAAAGAACUAAAGCAAGCAUGUGCUACCAUACCCCUACUUCAGCAAUCUAUAUGCUAACUGAUGAAUUACCAUGCUAAUUUUGCUUAGUUAUUUGAUGUCCAUGUCUAAUUGACUAAAAAUGAUUUGAUGAAAAGUCAAAAUGUAUAUAUUAGUGAUAUCUUUGAAUUACUUGAACUAUUUACAUAUGUUUCAGAUAUUAUAGUAUGUUUUCUUCCCACUACCUCAAGCAUAUGAAAACUCACUUGGAAAAAAAGAAUGUUAACAGUUCCAAGAGGAGAAGACCUACAUAAGUAUUCGAUAGAUAACACAUUGUGAUGUGAUAUAUCAGUCAGUGUCCUGGUACUUGUCAAAGUAUAUCUUGAAGGUUGUGGCGUGCAUGAGCAUACUGUUGUGCAGGUUUGUUGUCAGCAGAACAACUUGAGGAAAACUAAUUAUAGAUGUUCCUAUGUCAUCUGAUUCCUCCAAAAAAAAUGUUGGGCAGCAGGCAAUAAUAUAGCAUGAUAGUAGAUGAUGCUAAAAAGACAUGCCACUAUGUAUGUAUCCAGUAAUAUAGAGGCAUUGCCCAUCGACAAAAUUAAACUCUUUCUCAACAUUAUUUUAGUGAAUAAAGCAUGCUUUGCUAUCUUCAUGGAUGGAUGGAGAACAACUCAAUGCACUGGGUAUUUUAGUGACAGAAGUAACUUUAGCAGGAUGUACAUAAGGCUCGUUAUUAGUAGAGGAUUCUUCACCCAGGGAAAGUUGGUUAAGCUUUGUAUUCCAUAUCCACUGUUCCUUGGUGUGAAAGAAGCUCAAAACAGAAAACAAAAUAUGUCAGUCACUCAAUUUAAAUGUCUUAUUUUAUCGCAUGCUUGUACUGAAGGCUUAUUUUAUCGCAUGUUUAUACUAAAAUCUGAAUAGAGCACAAAUUCAACAUGUGGUAGUAUGUAUUUAAAAGUAUCAAGAAAGUAGCUUUGUUGACCUACAUAUGUUGAAGUGAUGUUCUUUUGAAAGUACGCUAACCCACUAUUUUGUCAGCUCAGGUGAUCUAUUGCAGUAACCAAGUAAGAUGGGAGACCUUUUUAACGGGGAACACUAAGUUGUAAAUGCAAAUAAAAGUUUUAGGCCUUAAUAUGCACAUCAUUUCUUAAAAGCAUCAUAUCCACACAAAUUGAUCCGCAACAAUCAAGUAAAGUAGUUCCUAUCAAGAAACAUAUAUUAAAGAACUAUAUCAUCGGUCAGUAUCCAAUUCUGCACCUCUUCUUUUCCAUAUGUAAUUUUGUAUUGACAACUAAACAACAAUAUAAAAAGCAAUUAAUCUGAAAAACAUGCCCGUCGGAUACCGUUAUUGUUGACCCAUCAGCAUAUAAAGAAUGAUGUGCUUUAUAAAGGUCUUAUAUUGCAGGUGAGCCUCUGGCUAUCAUGAUGGAACUCUACGAUAGAAGGUUUUGAGAUUAACCGAAUUAGUAAGCUAUAUUUUUGAAAAGGUAAAAUAGUUUGAAGAUAACAAGUAUAGAAAAAGAAUCAAUAGUUGUAUAAUACUAACCACUGUUGUAAACUAAUAUUCAAAUCUUAUUAUGAUGGUUAAAUUGACAAAUUCGUAAAUUGGAUGACUAAUUUAGCAGUUAAACUUCAUUGCUGAUAUGAGUGGCAGACUCGCACGCUAGUUCAUGUUGUAAUGCAAAAAUGGCACAACCUUGUUUCAGGAAAAGGUGCAAGCAAAUACAAGUGUUCAUCAUGAUUAUGAGUUUUGAAGUAUUAAUACACGCAUUGUCGGGGAUAUGACCCCGCGAUCUAACCUGUCGCUUGGGCCAAGUUAAGCCAUAGGCGGUCUAAGGAGCAUAUGUUCGAUGGGCCGUGGAGAAGACAGGAGGCCGGGGCAGAGGACUUACCAAGUAAGUCGCAAGGCGUCCCGACACCAGAAGACGGUGACUCAAGGCCCACUAGGCAGAAGACGCUAGGAGGUUUCUUAUCUUGGGAGGCAAGAUGAAGUAAGAAUUGUAAUAAGCCAUGAUACGUCUCAAACGUAUCUGUAUUUUUUGAUGGUUUCACGCUGUUAUCUUGUCUUCUUUGGUUGUUUUAUGUACCUUGUAUAUCUUUUUUGGGACUAACUUAUUAAUUCAGUGCCAAGUGCCAGUUCCUGUUUUUCCGUGUUUUUGAUUCUUUUCAGAUCUGAUUUUGGAACGGAGUCCAAAAAGAAGAAAAACCCGAAAAUGAUUUUUUUUCCCGAACGGAAGAAGCCCAGGGAGCUUUUGGGCCAAGCCAGGUGGGCUCCACGGAGCCCACAAGCCCCCACUCCGCCACCAGGGGAGGCGGCGGUGGGCAGGCUUGUGGCCUCCCUGGCCGCCCCCUGACCUAGGUCUUUGGCCUAUAAAUUCCCAAAUAUUCCGCAAAAAAUCAGGGGAGCCUCGAAAAUACUUUUCCGCUGCCGCAAGAUUCCGUUUCCGCGAGAUCUCAUCUGGAGACCCUUCCCGGCACCCUGCCGGAGGGGACUUUGGAGUUGGAGGGCUUCUUCAUGAUCAUCAUCUCCCCUCCAAUGACUCGUGAGUAGUUCACUUCAGACCUGCGGGUCCGUAGUUAGUAGCUAGAUGGCUUCUUCUCUCUCUUGGAUCUUCAAUACAAAGUUCUCCACGAUCUUCAUGGAGAUCUAUCCGAUGUAAUCUUCUUUGGUGGUGUGUUUGUCGAGAUCCGAUGAAUUGUGGAUUUGUGAUCAGAUUAUCUGUGACAUAUAUUUGAGUCUUUGCUAAUUUAUUAUAUGCAUGAUUUGAUAUCCUUGUAAGUCUCUUCGAGACUUGGCUUUCGUUUGGCCAACUAGAUCUAUGAUUCUUGCAAUGGGAGAAGUGCUUGGUUUUGGGUUCUACCAUGUGGUGACCUUUCCCAGUGACAGUAGGGGCAGCAAGGCACACAUCAAGUAGUUGCCAUCAAGGGUAAAAAGAUGGGGUUUUAUCAUUGGUUUGAGAUUAUCCCUCUACAUCAUGUCAUCUUGCUUAAGGCGUUACUCUGUUCUUAUGGAUUUAAUACACUAGAUGCAUGUUGGACAGCGGUCGACGUGUGGAGUAAUACUAGUAGAUGCAGAAAGUAUCGGUCUACUUGUUUCGGACGUGAUGCCUAUAGAAACAAUCAUUGCAUAGAUAUCGUCACGACUUUGCGCGGUUCUAUCAAUUGCUCGACAGUAAUUUGUUCACCCACCGUCUACUUGCUUUCAUGAGAGAAGUCACUAGUAAACACUACGGCCCCCGGGUCUAUUCACAUCCAUCGUUUACACCUCCGCUUUUGCUUUGCUUUGUUACUUUGUUGCUUUCAGUUCUCAGUUGGCAAACAAUCUAUAAGGGAUUGACAACCCCUUCAUAGCGUUGGGAGCAAGUUUUUGUGUUUAUGCAGGAUCUUGAGAUACUCCUCCACUGGAUUGAUACAUUGGUUCUCAAACUGAGGGAAGUACUUACCACCGCUACGCUACGUCACCCUUUCCGCUUCGAGGGAACACCAACGCAAGGCUCCAAGGCCACGGGGGAAAUCCUUUGAAUACUUGCCUAGGAAGUCCCUUAAGGCGUAGUCGCAGCUGAAGGAUUCCUGGUGCCGUUGCUGAGGAGUAUCAAGCAACACUCCUAUUUCUGGCGCCGUUGGAAGGUCUUUUGUUGCAGUAGCAGAAGUAUUUAUGGCGCCGUUGCCGGGGAGGAGCACGUCAAGAUAACUUGCCGACAACGUGCCUAUUUCUGGCGCCGUUGCCGGGGAGGAGAAAUCAAGAUCUACCCAAGUAGGUCUCACAAACUCUUCUCUUGAAUUUACUUUUGUUGCCAGUUGCCUCUCGUUGUCCUCUCCCCCACUUCACAUUUGUCGUUUUCAUUUGCCUUUUUCCUUUGCCGUUUUCUUUUGUCUUUUUGAUGUUCUCUUUUGCCCGUUUCACUCUCUCUUCCUGCUCGUUUGUGUGUGAGAUAGUCCAUCAAUGGCUAGACCCACCACUCCAAACGACGCCCCUGAAAAUGAAGUUCUCAAUUUCAGGCAGAAUGAGGAAGAAAAUUUGAAGGACGCUUGGUACAGGAUUUGCAAUGCUCAAAGUAGAUCUACUCGUAAGCAAUCCACCACCGUCCUCCUUCGCAGUUUCUAUGUUGGAAUUUCUCCUUGGAAUAGGUAUAUCCUUGAUACCAUUGUAGGCGGGAACUUUUUGGUUGAGCCAUACUGUUGACUCCUAUAGAGCUAUCAUUAACUUGGUAGGCUCACCCCCGCUCAUGGUUAAUGGAACUAUCUUGACCUUGGAACACGUGAUGCAAAGGCUUGACGCUAUUGAAAACAAAAUUGCCACAGUCGAACUUAUUGAGGGUUUGGAUAAAAAGAUCCACAAUCAAAUUACUCAGUACGGAUCCAAACUGGGAAACUUUUUGAAAAAUUUAAAGGAGAAGGAACUUAUAGUUAAUAAUUCUUCUAGAAUUGGGAAAUUAGAAGAUGUCAUAAUCAACUUGGGUUCCGCUUUUGCCGCUGUGCAAAAUACUCCAAAUCUCACUCUCAAAAAGAUAGUCAAGCCUGUUUUUGUUCCUAAAGCUAGUGGUGAGUCAUCUAAUAAAGACGAAAACCUUAAGAUGAUAAAUGAUCACACUACCUAUGGUUUGAGCACCAAAGAUGACUAUACGUGAUUCCAUCACUUUCGCCUAGCUAAGGGCGUUAAACAAAAGCGCUUGUUGGGAGGCAACCCAACGAAUCUAUCCUUUUUCUUUCUGUUUUGUGUUUUCCACACUUUCAUAAUUCUGUUAUGAUUGUGUUUUUUUGUUUCUUUUUGCGUUUGUGCCAUGCAAAACCGUUAUGAUUAGUCUUGGGGAUGAUCGUUUGGUCAUGCUGGAAAAGACAUAAACUUUCUGCUCACGAACAUAAUUUUCAUUUUUUCUGUAAGAGCUUUUGAGUUGAUUCUUUUUUGCUGCUGAUUGCUACGCAAAUUCUUCAGACUGCCGUAAUUUGUCAGAAUUUUUGAAGUACCAGAGGUAUACGAAAUAUACAGAUUGCUGCAGACUGGUCUGCUGUUAACAUAUUCUGUUUUUGUUGUGUUGGUUGCUUAUUUUGAUGAAACUAUGGAUAGUAUCGGGGGGUAUUACCCAUGGAAGAUUGAAAGUACAGUAACCCUACAUCAGAACAAGUAGAAUUUAAGUUUGCUAUAGUACCUAAGGAAGUGGUGGUUUUCUUUCUUGUACUAAUGUUAUCAUGAGUUUCUGUUUAAGUUUCGUGUUGUGAAGUUUUCAAGUUUUGGGUGAAGUUCUUAUGGACAAAGAUAUAAAGAGUGCCAAGAGCUCAAGCUUGGGGAUGCCCAAGGCACCCCAAGAGAUUCAAGGAUGCUGUAAAAGCCUAAGCUUGGGGAUGCCCCGGGAAGGCAUCCCCUCUCUCGUCUUCAAUCCAUCGGUAACGUUACUUGGGGCUAUAUUUUUAUUCACCACAUGUUAUGUGUUUUCGCUUGGAGCGUCUUGUAUCAUAGGAGUGUUUUAUUUUUUUUGUGUCACAGUCAUACUAGCUGCACACCUAGAGAGAGAGACAUGCACACACCGUGAUUUUGUCGAGCUUCACUUAUAUCUUUUGGUAGACAAUUCAGCUCACAUGUGCUUCACUUAUAUCUUUUGAGCUAGAUACUUUUGCUCUUUGUGCUUCACUUAUAUCUUUUAGAGCGCAGCAGUGCGUGGCUUGGUAGUUGAUCUAUGCUUUGAAAGUAGUCUCAAAAGGGGUAGUUAUCGAAAGGGAUACGAAAACUUCCACCUUCAUGUGCAUUGAAUAGUUAGAGAAGUUUGAUUCAUCUCAAUCAGUUUUGAGUUGUGGUUAUGGUAAUAUUGAAGUCAUUUUAGUAAGGUGUUGUGAAUCUAGAAAUACUUGUGUUUAAGUUAGUGAUUCCCGUAGCAUGCACGUAUGGUGAACCGCUAUGUGAUGAAAUCUAAGCAUGAUUAGUAUAUUGAUUGUCAUCCUUUGCGUGGCGGUCGGGAUCGCGCGAUGGUUUAUACCUAUCAACCCUUCCCCUAGGAGUAUGCGUUGAAUGCUUUGUUUCGAUUACUAAUAAAAAUUUUGUAACAAGUAUAUGAGUUCUUCAUGACUAAUGUUGAGUCCAUGGUUUAGAUGCACUUUCACCUUCCACCAUCACUAUCUUCUUAGUGCCGUGCAACUUUCGCCGGUGCACAAAACCCACCAUUAGCCUCUCUCAAAACAGCCACCAUACCUACCUACUAUGGCUUUUUCAUAGUCAUUCCGAGAUAUAUUGCCAUCCAACUACCACCAUGACAUGUGCCACCACGUCUACAUUGCCAUUUCAUGAUCGUAUGAUAGCUAGCAUGAUGUUUCCAUUGAUGUCUAUGCCAUGCUAGAUCAUUGCCACGGUACACUAUCAAAGGCAUUCCAUAUAGAGUCAUCGUUACUCUAAGUUUUGAGUUGAAAGUGUGAUGAUCAUAAUUAAUGGAGCAUUGUCCCAUGUGAGGAAAUAAAAGAGGCCAAAUAAGCCCACAAAAAAAAGAGGCUGAAGAGCCCUCCAAAUAAAAAAAAUGAGAGGAAAAGAGAGAAGGGACAAUGCUACCACUUUUUCCACACUUGUGCAUAUUAAGCACCAUGAUCUUCAUGAUUGAGAGUCUCUCAUUUUCUCACCACCAUAUAGCUAGUGGGAAAUUUUCAUUAUGUAACUUGGCUUGUAUAUUCCUAUGAUAGGCUUCCUCAAAAUUGCCUUAGGUCUUCGUGAGCAAGCAAGUUGGAUGCACACCCACUAGUUUUCUUUAAGAGCUUUCACAAACUCAUAGCUCUAGUGCAUCAAUUGUAUGGCAAUCCCUACUCAUUCACAUUGAUAUCUAUUGAUGAGCAUAUCCACAGCUCAUUGAUAUGCCUAGUUAAUGUGACUAUCUUCUCAUUUUUGUCUUGCAACCUCCACUACAUUCCACACCAUCUAUAGUGCUAUAACCAUGGCUCACGCUCAUGUAUUGCGUGAGAGUUGAAAAGGUUUGAGAAAGUAAAGGUGUGAAACAAUUACUUGGCCAAUACAGGGGUUGUGCCUGAUUUAAAUUCGUUGUGCAAUGAUGAUAGAGCAUAGCCAGACUAUAUUCUUUUGUAGGGAUAACUUUCUUUUGGCCUUGUUAUUUUGAAAGUUCAUGAUUACUUUGCUAGUUUGCUUGAAUUAUUAUUGUUUCUGCGUCAAUAGCAAACUAUUGUUUUGAAUCAAAUGGAUCUGAACAUUCACAUCACAUAUGAGGAAUUACAAAGGACACCUAUGCUAGGUAGCAUGAAAGCAUCAAAAAUCCAUUCUUAUCACUUCCCUACUCGAGGACGAGUAGGAGUUAAGCUUGGGGAUGCUUGAUACGUCUCAAACGUAUCUAUAAUUUUUGAUGGUUUCACGCUGUUAUCUUGUCUUCUUUGGUUGUUUUAUGUACCUUUUAUAUCUUUUUUGGGACUAAAUUAUUAAUUCAGUGCCAAGUGCCAUUUCCUGUUUUUUCCGUGUUUUUGACUCUUUUGAGAUCUGAUUUUGGAACAGAGUCCAAACGGAAGAAAAACCCCGAAAUGAUUUUUCCCCGAACAGAAGAAGACCAGGGGGCUUUUGGGCCAAGCCAGGUGGGCUCCAGGGAGCCCACAAGCCCCCACUACGCCACCAGGGGAGGCGGCGGUGGGCAGGCUUGUGGCCUCCCUGGCCGCCACCUGACCUAGGUCUUUGGCCUAUAAAUUCCCAAAUAUUGCACAAAAAAUCAGGGGAGCCUCGAAAAUACUUUUCCGCCGCCGCAAGCUUCCGUUUCCGCGAGAUCUCAUUUAGAGACCCUUCCCGGCACCCUGCCGGAGGGGACUUUAGAGUUGGAGGGCUUCUUCAUCAUCAUCAUCGCCCCUCCAAUGACUCGUGAGUAGUUCACUUCAGACCUACAGGUCCAUAGUUAGUAGCUAGACGGCUUCAAUACAAAGUUCUCCAUGAUCUUCAUGGAGAUCUAUCAGAUGUAAUCUUCUUUGGCGGUGUAUUUGUCGAGAUCCGAUGAAUUGUGGAUUUGUGAUCAGAUUAUCUAUGAUAUAUAUUUGAGUCUUUGCUGAUUUCUUAUAUGCAUGAUUUGAUAUCCUUGUAAGUCUCUCUGAGUCUUGGGUUUUGUUUGGCCAACUAGAUCUAUGAUUCUUGCAAUGGGAGAAGUGCUUGGUUUUGGGUUCUACCAUGUGGUGACCUUUCCCAGUGAUAGUAGGGGCAGCAAGGCAGACAUCAAGUAGUUGCCAUCAAGGGUAAAAAGAUGGGGUAUUUAUCAUUGGUUUGAGAUUAUCCCUCUACAUCAUGUCAUCUUUCUUAAGGCGUUACUCUUUUCUUAUGGACUUAAUACACUAGAUCCAUGCUGGAUAGCGGUCAACGUGUGGAGUAAUAGUAGUAGAUGCAGAAAGUAUCGGUCUACUUGUUUCAGACGUGAUGCCUAUAGAAACAAUCAUUGCAUAGAUAUUGUCACGACUUUGCGCAGUUCUAUCAAUUGCUCGACAGUAAUUUGUUCACCCACCGCCUACUUGCUUUCAUGAGAGAAGCCACUAGUAAACACUACGUCCCCCGGGUCUAUUCACAUCCAUCGUUUACACCUCCGGUUUUACUUUGCUUUGUUACUUUGUUGCUUUCAGUUCUCACUUGGCAAACAAUCUAUAAGGGAUUGACAACCCCUUCAUAGCGUUGGGAGCAAGUUUUUGUGUUUGUGCAGGAUCUUGAGAUACUCCUCCACUGGAUUGAUUCCUUGGUUCUCAAACUGAGGGAAGUACUUACCACCGCUACGCUACAUCACCCUUUCCGCUUCGAGGGAACACCAACGCAAGGCUCCAAGGCCAUGGGGGAAAUCCUUUUCAUACUUGCCUAGGAAGUCCCUUAAGGCGUAGCCGCAGCUGAAGGAUUCCUGGUGCCGUUGCUGAGGAGUAUCAAGAAACACUCCUAUUUCUGGCACCGUUGGAAGGUCUUUUGUUGCAGUAGCAGGCCAUAGACGUUUCUUCGACCCGGACUCUAUUGUAAAGUCGAGGCCUCUACCUAUAUAUAAAGGAGAUACCUCGAGCUAGAAAGAUCAAGCAAGAAACUCUCGAGAGCUUGGUUAGCUAUUCUGCAUCCUUGUAAUCGAGAUGUCUGUCAAUAUAGACACAAAAGUAGGACAUAGACUUUUACCUCCAUCUGAGGGGCCGAACCUGGGUAAACCCGUCUCCUGUUUCCUGAUCAACCUCUUCGAGUCGCCACACAACGGUGAUGGCCUCACCACUAAGGCCUUUUACGAGGAUAGCUGCCGUGACAAAACUACGACAGUUGACGCCCACCGAGGGGCAAUCGCAAGGUGGAGUUGAGUUCUCGAAGGGAGAUCUUCCAGGGUUCGGGAGCUAUGUGGUGGGUCAGAUGACCAAGAGUCAUCGCGGCAAGAUCUACAUCGACGAUUCAAGACGGGGUCCCCUCGCCGACUCGGUCGAGUACAGGUAUCGCAUCCCUUUCGGCAAGAUCCACAGCUUCAUCGGCAAGGUCAAUGAAGCAACGCCCGAGAUGGACAUAUGUAUCAACAUUGUUGAGACGGCUCACCACGUUUGACCCAACCGGUGUGGGUGUGGCCGAAGCCAAACCUUCGUGGAGAACAUCGGGUCAUCCCGUCCUCUCAAAGGUGGGAACGUUGAAGGCCAAGGCAACAACAAGCGAAAGUGGCCCGGGGGCAGGUCAGAGACUGCGGUCAGUAUCAAUGCGAGUUUCAAAAACCAGCGCCUGAGCGACCGUCCUAAGAAGGUUUACCACGCGAAAAAGUCAUGCAACUAAGAGGCUGCGCUCAAGGCGUCUUUCCCCGGGCAUGGUACUCAGCAGAAGUCGGCUAAUCAUUCAUGGGAAGACUGUUAUAUCAUGCGGGAUUUCCAUAACUGGGUUCUCGAAAAACGCCAAGAGGAACAUCCAGGUCAAAAUACCCCUGGUGGGUCAACUGCGGGUCUCAAACCACCAAGUAGUGGUCAGUACCAUGUGUUCACCAUCAAUGCUUGCAAAUGAGACACAAAGGUCAGAAAGAGGGCUAUCGGCAUGGAUGAGCCGGUGGUUCCUAAGUACAUUCGUUGGUCUGAGCAGCCAAUCAUGUGGAGCCUUGAGGAUCAUCCCCCCUGGGUCGACAACCCUGGAGACCUGGCCCUAGUGGUGGUGCCUCAAGCGAAUGGCUAUACCCUUACAAAGGUCCUCAUGGAUGGAGGAAGCAACGUCAACAUAUUAUAUUAUGACACCUUUCGCCAGAUAAACCUCCUCGACGGCUCCUUGGAAACUUCAAUCAUCGUUUUUCACGGCAUCGUUCCCAGGAAGUCGUCGUACCCGGUCGGGCGGAUUAAGGUUUACGCGGCCUUUGGUGAUGAGUGUAACUACAGGGUCGAGCCUUUGACUUUUGAAGUUGUAAAGAUACAUAGCCCUUAUCAUGCCCUCUUCGGGAGGCUGGCUUAUGCCCAUUUCAUGGCUGGCCCCUGUUAUGUUUACCCCAAGCACAAGAUGCCAGGUCCCAAUGGAACUAUAACGGUGGGAGGCGACAGGAAGACGGCUUAGGAAUGUGAGGAAGGGGACGCAACCUAUGCUGAGUCAGCCUGUGGAGCUCAGGAGCUAAAAAUUUACAUAGCUAAUGUCGACCCGGCUGACAUGAGUUCUCUCAAGAAGCCGAACACUGAGUCCGAAGAACCCCUCAAGUUCAACCGGCCAAAGAUACCAAACAGAAUGACUUCAUCCCAAGCGACUCAUUCAAGCAGUUCACUAUUGGGACCAAUCUGGAUACUAAAUAGGAAAGCACGCUCAUCGAGUUCAUCUGUGAGAAUCAUGACAUCCGUGCAUGGAAGCCUUCUGACAUUCUUGGAGUAUCGUGGGAACUCCUUGAGCACCAUAUUAACAUGGAUCCUAAGAUGAAACUAGUACGGCAGUACCUCCGUCGCUUUAACGAGGAGAGAUGCAAGGCUAUUGGAGAAGAGGUAGCUUGACUUCUAGCUGAUGGGUUUAUUCUUGAAGUCUUUCACCCUAAAUGGAUGGCUAACCCGGUGUUUUUUCGAAAAAUAAGGACACUUGGCGCAUGUGUGUUUAUUACACAGAUCUCAACAAAGCAUGUCCCAAAGAUCCUUUUUCCCUCCUGCGUAUCGACCAGAUCAUUGACUCUACGGUGGGUUGCGAGCGAUUAUGCUUUUUGGACACAUACUCACGUUAUCACGAGAUCAAAAUGGCUAAGGAGGAUCAGGAGAAGACAACUUUCAUAACCCCUUUUGGUGCCUUCUGCUAUGUUUCUAUGUCUUUCAGGCUCAAGAGUGUAGGGGCGACUUAUCAGCGAUGUGUGCAGUUCACUCAUAGAUCGCACGCAACACUCAUGCUUAUGUUGAUGACAUCGUGGUGCAAUCUUGGAAGAAGGAGACAUUAUUGGACGAUCUCAAGGAAAUGUUUGAUAACCUUUGAGUAUACCAGAUGGAACUUAACCCGACGAAGUGUGUCUUUGGGGUCCCUAUGGGUAAGCUAUUGGGUUUCCUGGUCCCUGAACGAGGUAUUGAAGCCAAUCCCAACAAGAUCAAGGCGGUCACCUCAAUGGGUAAGCCGACUAAUAUAAACUAGGUCCAACGCUUGGCUGGCCGCAUCGCAGCAUUGAGUAGGUUUAUAAGCCGCCUGGGGAGAAGGCAAUCCCUCUCUAUCAGCAGCUGAGAAAGACAGACAAUUUUGUUUGGAGUGAUGCGGCCGACGAAGCCUUUGAAACUCUCAAGAAGUAGUUGGCUAAGCCACCGGGUUUAGCUGCCCCGAUUGACAAAGAACAUAUGCUCUUGUAUAUAGGUGUCAAUUCAAAGGUGGUAAGUGUUGCAGUCGUUGUUGAACAAAAGGACGGAGGAAAGGAAUAUCCAGUUCAAAGGUGAGUUUAUUUCAUCAGUGAAGUCUUGACCCUAUCCAAGCAACGAUAUCCACAAUGGCAGAAACUGGUCUUUGCGGUCUUUACGGCUCAUGCUUUCGUGUACUAAUAAUGCAGCUGAGUAUGAGGCAUUGUUGCAUGGGUUAAGGAUGGCCAAGGAAAUGAAUCUCAUCCGGGUUAGGGCAUUGGGCGACUCAGAUUUAGUGGCGCAGCAGGUUUUAGGGACCUUGGAUUCUAAAGAUCCUUUGUUGGCAGCUUAUGGACGAGCAAUUACUGAGGUCGCAAAUUACUUCCAUGGCUAUCAAGUCGACCACAUAGAUCACCGUCUCAAUGAGGCGGCAGAUGCUUUAUCGCGACUUGGUUCUCAACAGAAGCCGGUCCCUCCCAAAGUAUUUUUGAAUGUCCUUUACAACCCCUCGGUGAAGUUACCGUCUGAAGAGGAUAUAGCUAUUCCAGACGUGGAAUUAUAGCUAGUGGCAACUCUUCGAGCUACCCUAGGUUUGACGGUACCAUAGUUAGCGUAUCUCGCUUGAGGAGAACUCCUAUCUAAGGAAGUCGAGGCCCGCCAGAUAGUUCGUCGAUCUAAAUCGAUGACCAUUAUCAAGGGUGAGUUACAUCUGCGGAGCAACACUGGCAUUUUUUCAAUGUUGUGUAUCUCCCGAGGAAGGACAAGAAAUUCUUAAUGAAAUGCAGGCAAGAAACUAUGGGCAUCACGCCAGCUCAAGAUCUUUGGUGUCAAAGGCCUUUCCUCAUGGGUUUUAUUGGCUAACAGCUCAUGCUGAUGCAGAAGACCUCGUAUGCAAGUGCAAUGGAUGUCAAAAGUUUGCUUGGCAGGCCCAUGUGCUGGCUCAAGAUUUGCACAUGAUCCCAAUCACAUGGCCGUUUGCAGUCUGGGGACUUGAUAUGGUUGGUCCGUUCAAAAUGUCUCUGGUAAAAAAGACCCACCUACUGGUAGCAGUUGAUAAGUUCACCAAAUGGGUUGAGGCGGAACCUGUCAGCAACAGUGAUGCGGAAACAAUGGUAAAAUUCUUGAAGAAGUUAAUCUACCAUUUUGGCUAUCCUCAUAGCAUUAUCACGGACAAUGGUACCAACCUAUCGAAAGGGCUUUGGAACAAUUCCGUCAGAAAGAGCACAUCUGGCUUGACUUGGCAGCGGUAGCGCAUCCGCAAUCCAACGGCCAGGCUGAAAGAGAGAAUCAGGAGAUUUUCAUAGGGGUCAAACCCCGUCUCAUGGCCCCAUUACAGCGUACCCUAGUUAUUGGGUUGAGGAACUCUCCUUAGUAUUCUGAAAUAUCAAUACUACUCCAAAUAGGUUCGCUGGACACACGCCUUUCUUUCUGGUCUAUGGUGCUGAGGUGGUACUCCCAAGUGAUAUUCGCCACGACUCUCCUAGAGUCGCCGGUUAUGUUGAGGGUGAGAAUGAACAAGCACGAGAAGAUCCUUUGUAUUCUUUGGAGGAAGAACGAGACUUAGUAGCAGCUACGUCACCAUAUAUCAACAGGACCUACGCUGUUAUCAUACCUGUAGAGUUAAAAGCCGCACUUUCCAAGAAGGCGAGUUGGUGCUCCGCCUGAUUCAAGAUCAAACGGAGAUUCAUAAACUUUCACCGCACUGGGAAGGCCCAUUUAUCAUCAGGAAAAACCUCAACAAUGGUUCACACUACCUGAUCGAUCUAUGACCCGGUAAGAACAUCUCCGAAGCAGAGACAACCCGGCCCUAGAACAUUGCUCACCCAUGGCCUUAUUAUACUUAGAGCCACUGACUUAUUAUUUCUUGUACCUUCCCCAAUUUGUGUACAUACUUCUAUAGUUUUGAACAUAAUAAAGUUGACAUCCUCAAACUUCGGGGCCUCUAUUGGCUUUAGCCUACAAAUUGAGCAUGAGUCUUUAUUAUUUCAAUACAUGUUACUUGGGGGCUACUAGUCAAAACAAAUCAUCGUGAUCAAUGGAAUCAAGCUGGCUUAUGUGGACUCCAGAUUGUUUAGUAGUAAUAUCAUUGUCUUCUGCAAUCCUAUGCUGCGCUUUUCUAUUGAUCACAUGUUAUUUGGGGGCUUCCAACUCAUCGAGAUUAGCUUUCUCACCGGCUUAAUCCGGCAAAGACGCCACAAAAUGGUUAUACCUCCAUGUAUGUUUGAUGCGACUCCGAGCAGGUGACUCCAUGUACUCUUGACUAUUCAAUCAAUUGUGGACCCUGAAUUAGCAAGGUUAAUACAUUGGUUUGUCAUGUGAGAGUCGGCAUACUGAAGCUAGGAUAAACCAUAGGUUAUCAUGCCCGCUUCAUUAAAGCAAGACUUGAGCCUCGAAAGUCGGUCUCUUUUUACCGUGUCUCACUAAGCCGGAUUAUUAUUGCUUUAUAUUAUCAUGACUUGAUCGUGUCAGGUACAAACGCUAUUUUUCUGGCUCAUAAAGAGUGCUCGGGUUAUAAAGUCAUAAUCCUAUCAUGAACAAUUCAAAAAAUUAUGGCUGAGCGGACGAAAAUUGUGAAUUCUAGGGCCAAGUUGCAAUAACUAGCCUCGUGUUGAUUCAAGCAGACAGAUUUUGAGCACGGAUCAGCCAAGACGGAACAGAUUAAAAGACUAAAGAUCUAUCUGGUUCGUAUACAUAAGGAUUAAAAGCCGGGUUACCAGAGAUUUGGGCAGAUUUAGGCCACUUGCCAACAUGACAGGAACCAAGAGUUUUUACAAACAUGCCAAAGGUACGACACACACGAUACAACUAUUGGCUCGGGAAAUAUGUUACAAGGCACUCAAGGCCCAAACGGUGGAAUCAAAGUUUUUCUCGUAACUAGGUUUUCACAUUUUUCCGGCUUAAGCUUUGUAUUGGUCUUGCCCUGAGAUGCCUCCGGUUGGUCCUCCGUUUGAGCCGUCGGAUCUAUGAUUUGAAGAUCAUCCAAAUUCUAGUUGCAAUGGGACAAGGCUUCAAAAAUGGCUUCCUUGUUCAAUAUAGGCGCGGGUUGACGUUAGGGGCAAAGAGCUGCUUGCGACUCCGCGGAGUUAGACUAACCAAUUUAAAUAGGGGCGGCUGAACUCGGCCGUUGUUUGAGUCAUAUGUUGGAUGAUAGCUCUUCAAAGACAUGCCACUUACAAGCUAAAUGGCCAACAUACGAGCCGCCGAGACGCACUAACGAUAAUCAUCAUCAUUAAGAGCUAAUACAUCCGCCUUCAACUCUCGAAACCCCCCGAUCAUUGCUGCCGGGUCAAGCUCAGCCGAGUAAGGGAGAGCCCGACUCAAAUAAUAUGUGGCUCCGGCACGGGCGGCUGGUCUCUUGAGCUCUCCAGUUUGUUUGGGUAUUGUAGAGAGAAACACCAACACAUCUUUUAUAAUCUUAACCGGCUCUUUGUUCCCCGCGAUGGCUCUGACUGUGCAUAAGCUUCCGCUAUAGAGCUGCUCUAUCAAUACAUAUACAGCUUUGAGCUUUAACAAGCAAUUGUCUUGGAUAUUGCGCGUAUGGCGGCCUGCAAAGACACAAGCACAUAAGUCACCAUGCGAUUGGUCUUAGCGAAUGAAUAUUAAGUGGGUUAAUGAAAGGCUUCCGAACAUACUCACCAAAGAUGGCUUGAGUCAUGUGGUCAAUAUGCCUUUUUAACCCGGAUAGCUCUGUAGAGGCGGUUUUGGGGGGGGGGGUCUUUAGAGUGCUUGGUCAAUGUGGCUUUCUCAAUUUUGAAGGAUCUUUUUUCUUUUUCAAAUCCUUCCUUGAUCUUCUCCAUUUCCUCCAAGGAUAAUCGAAGUUUUUCCUAAAGCUUUGCUCGGUCGGUUUGUCCUUCCUCAAGAGCCUUUGUGAAAUCAACGACUUUUGACUCAGCGGCCUUCAAAGUUUCCUACACAAAAAUUGGAGUAACAAUAAGCCAGAGACGGGACAACAUGAUCACUAUGAUAAUGAAGAUUAUAAACAAGUCCCAAGCAUAUUGCAAGCAAUAUACUUGGCACUUGGGGGCUAAUGCACGUCAGUUAUUUUUUGAACAUAUGAUAGAAAAGACCCAACUCAUCUCAAAAAGAUGAUCCGUCCCUUGGGGCUAUAGGUCAAUUUCUUUCACAAUAAUCAUCAAGAUCCGACUCAUCUCAAAAAGAUGAUUCGGCCCUUGGGGGCUACAGGUCGAUUACUUCAAUCAAAUCAUCAAGACCCGACUCAUUUCAAGAAGAUGACUCGGACCUUGGGGGCUACAGGUCGAAUUCUUCAAUCAAAUCAUCAAGACCCGACUCGUCUCAAGAAGAUGAGUCGGCCCUUGGGGCUAGAGGAGGAUAUAUGGAAUACAGAGUACAUGGCAAGGUGGAGCAUACCUCAUAUUUUAGCUUCAUCAUAUUCACAAGGCUAGUUUCCAUUUGACGGCUUGUAGAAAGACACUCAAGAUAACCAGUGUACAAUUCCUCAGUACAGAAAGUAUCAUAAUUCGGAAGCUCUAGUUUAGCUUUUCCUUUGUCAGACUGGACAACUUCCUCCUUUGUGGCAAGCUUUGCCAACAUAUCAGAGGAACAUCUUCACAGGGUACCUGAGGAAUGGGAGGAUCAGUACCAGUUGCCGGAUCGGUUUCAACAUCCAUAGGCGAAGCAGUAACUAUUUCUAUUUCAGGCUGAGUGUUUGGGAUAUUAUCAUGCCAUACAACCCGCCCUAAGAAGUCGGGUCAAGAUGGUAACAGCUCAACGUUCAUACUCAAGAUGGUCCCUCACCUACAAAGCAGGAGGCGCAAGGCGGUUUAUCAAUGAGAGCCGGCAACGGCCCAAGACACGAAGAUGGCGGGUCAUGGCCCACAAGGGAGAAGGUUGCUAGGAGUUUCCUUGCUUAAGGAGCAAGGCGAGUUAGAGACAUAACCGGUCAUGGAUUAUAAUGUGACCUGGACUCUUGUAAACCUAAGGGUCUCGACCUGUAUAUAAAGGCGAGUCUCUAGGGCUGGUAGACUUAAGUUACAAUCAAUCGAGAGCUAUGUCAGGCAAAAUAGCACCCUUGUAAUCGAUUUCAUCAUCAAUACACACAAAGCAGGACGUAGGCUUUUACCUCCAUCGGAGGGGCCGAACCUGGUAAACUCGUCUCUCGUUCCCGAUUAGCCCCUUUGACUCGCCACAUAGUUGCGAUGGCUUCACCACUAAGUCCUUUCAAGAGGACAUCUGUCGUGACAAAACCAUGAUAGUUGGUGCCCACCAUGGGGCUAGCGCACGAUGGAGUUGAGUUCUCAAAGGGAGCCCUUCUAGGGUUCGGGAGCUACACGGUUGGUCUCAUGACCAAAAGCCACCGUGGGAAGUGCUACAUCGACAAUUUGAGUUGGGGUCCCGAGGCCAGUUCGAUCGAAUCUGGUUACCGGGUCCCCUUCAGCAAGAUUCACGUCUUCAUCGGCAAGAUCGGCGCACCCGUUCCCGAGACGGACAUCAACACCGACAUCGUCGAGCCGGCUUGGUUCGCUCAACCCACCAAGCGUCAGAUCAGGCAGCGUCACGUCUUUGUUGGCUUUACGCAGGGGGUUAGCCUAGCGGAUGACACGGCGAUUGGUGGAGACACCCGUGUCAACUCAGUCGACGAGUCAUCUAUGAGGGACACAAACUCGAUCUGCCCUCUCUAUGAGGGAAGGCUUGGGGGCUUUCCUGAGGCGGCGAUCUUUGAAGGUCUGCAGGAGCCGCCUCGCCAGGUUGCCAUCUAGAUGGUUGGGGCAACGUUGGCUCAGAAUCACCCAGAUGCGGCGGCCGCCAAUGGAGCCAGCGGGUCUGGAAAAAUGCCAGCCCAGGCCAUGGCGGAUCUGAUGGUCGAGAUAUGAAAACUCAUGGCGGUCGCCGUUACUGCUGACAAUCAGGAGGAAAUCAAUGCCGAGCUGGCAAAACUAUGUGAAGAGAUGGCCAAGAUACAGUGUGAGAUCGAUGCUGAGAACACCCGGAUGGCAAAUCAGUAGGUUCAAAUUAACGAAGAGGUGGAACGCUUAAAGGCUGAGGCAUGGCGGCUCGAGCGUCGGCGAGUCUCCUCUGAUGUGGUGCAUCAGAGGAGGCAUUAGAGUCGUUUCCUGACCAAUCUUAACCCCACGCGAUUAUUUGACAGCACACACAUGCCUGGUGUGGAGCAUAACCCGCCUCGACAGACUAAUCAACUAGUGUAGCUGGCUUAGCCAUCGGCGACUCAGCAGUCGACCCAACCUCCGCUGGACAAACUGCUGGCUCAGCGUUUUCAAAGACCGCAGGGUCACUUGUCCAAUCCUCUGGACAACGUGCUGGCUACAACCCAUAAUUUGGAGUCUCUCCCCAUUCAUGGAAACACCCUAAUCGAGGUGGAAGCAAGGAACGUCAUCGAGAUGCUGAAGACGGCGAUGGUUCAACACGCGCAAUUUUCUUAUAGUCGUGAUCAGCUGCAUUACACACCCCACGCUAGUCAUACCAAGAGCCGCAAUGACGAUCCUCCAGCGGUCUCCAGCAGUAGUUGCCGACAGCAGCCUCAAGCCAACCCGCCCGGACUGCCAAUGUUGAAUGCUCAGGCGCUUGUGAAUGCGGCCCGAGCUUCCCAUUAGGUAGAGGCAGAGGCAACGGCGGCGAUGGCGGGACAGGUGGUUCCGACUUACGUCCAGCUGGUGCGUGCAUACAGUGAGCCGGGAGGAAGGAACGUAGGCAUCCCCUGCUUGUCAUUUGCUCUUCACAGCGAGCGCAUGCCCAAAGAUUUUAAAGGCCCUCGCAAGAUGCCCAAUUACACACCCGAUCUUGAGGCAGGUGCGUGGAUUGAGAGUUACAAGCCUGCUAUGGAUAUGCUCGAGGCCAAUAAUGCAGUAUGCGCCAAAUAUUUCAUGAUGAUGUUGGAAGGACCAUCUCGCACGUGGCUGAAAAAUCUACGGUCAAUCCCAUCAACACUUGGGCAGAAUUGAAGGAAAGAUUCAUUAAAAACCCCCCCCCCCCCCCCCUCGUAGAUCUGCAAAAUUGCGUUCAGCGGACGGAUGAGUCGGCCCACCAGUGGACGCGGCGGGUUUCAGAGAUUAUCCACUCCUCGGAUGGCAUCACAGUGACUCGCUGAUCUUGGAGAAUAACUGUCACUUUCAACCUGUGGUAUUUAAGCUUGGUCGUUUUAAGCGAAAGGUGUAGGAUAUGGGCGAGUUGAUGGACACCUUCACCAGAUAUGCCGAGUCAGAUGGCACGAAGGAUGCCGACUCAGAUGAUGAUAAAGCCAGUGAAGUCAAGAAAGGAGAUGGGACCAAGAGUCAUCUUCAAGCUCAGGGACGUAUUGGCAACUAGGGAGGUCAAGGAAAGAGAAGACAGCACGAUAGUGUGUCUGAUUUUGUUGCCAAUACCAAGGACGGGCCAAGAAACCAGCGUCGGAAUAUUCAUCAAAAUAGGGGCUAUAGCGGUAAAAAUGACGUAAUUAUGAGGGUAUGCUCAAGGGACCCUGUCCUAGGCACAGUGCCCCGAAUGCCCCCUCUGACCACUCUUGGGAAAACUGCUUUGUGAUGCAGGAAUUUUGUCUUCAAGCAUAGAGAGAUCACCAAGGGGGAAUGGUGAUGGACCUUCGGGCUAGUUUGGUCCCGGCAGAUCACAAGGUGGCUCGUUUGGCGGUUUCCCUGGUUCCGGCCCUGAUGGGCAAGGAGGCUCGAAUAACAGCGGCGGACAACAUUCUGGCCAAGGUAACCAGCAGUACAAUAAUCAAGGCGGUUUUCAGCGGCACAACAACCAAGGCGGUUUUCAGCAGCUAUUGGGGAUAUACCCCGCAGUGACACCUGGCUUGAUGUAUGACCCGCCAAGAACUUGGCGACUCACCAGCAACUCAUAUUUGACCCCGCAGGCGACUCACACAAACGACAAAGGCCCAAGGCCCGGCGUUCACACUGGCAUAAGGCAUCUCAUAGAGAUCCCAAGAGGGUCGGCUCACAAGAGAAGGCCCAAGAAGAGGAAAGACUCCCACAAGAAGGAAACAAGACCCGGAUUAGGAUUCAAGAGAGGCUAGUCCUAUUCCUACUCCUAGUAGGACUCUACAUGUAAACAUACCCCUUCCACCUAUAUAAGGAGCGGUAAGGCGCCCCAAGAGGGUCAAGAUUCACAACUUAGGUCUAGACAAGACAAAUCAUGAGAUAGACAGAUUAGACACCCACAAGAUUAGAGGUGCCGAGUCUGCACCCUUGUAAUCGAGAUCAUCAUCUUCAUCAAUGAAACACAAGCAGGACGUAGGCUUUUACCUCCAUCGGAGGGGCCGAACCUGGGUAAACUCGCGUCUCUCGAUUUCGACCAACCCCUCUCAAGCCGCCACAUGGUCGCGAUGGCCUCACACCUAAGUUCUCUCACAAGGACAUAUGCCGUGAGAAAACCACGACAUUUGGCGCCCACUGCGGGGCCUGAUUGCACGGUGGUAUUGUGUUCUUGGAGGGACCUCUUCAAGGGUUGAGAAGUUCGCGAUUCAUCGGAUGAAGAAGAGACAACACGAAACUAUUCAGGCACAUACAUGAUUGAGAUCGAGAGAAAAUUUAGGGUUACAUCUAUGCAGCGCAUCGUCGCACAUGAUUUGUUUGAUCGCUUUCUACGGCGGAGUCAACGAGUUUUUUUCCAUCUGAGAUUCAAAUCCUAACCUUCGGCUCGUUUUCGGAUCGGAACGCGCAAAGCAAUCUGCCAACAUAUAUAGGCUGAAGAUGAGCCGACAUGGAACAAAGCCAACAAAUUCAUCGUUUAGUGACAAGUAUCGUGAUUAAUUUUGGAACCGGCGGUACAAAAAGAAGUGAAGUUUGGAUCAUGUAUACGCGCCAUCGCGCGUGACCCGGCGAUCUAUCGAAACCAGAGGAAUACGUGACCAGGUGACCCAUCGAGCCGGAUGAAUUUUACGCCAACCAACAAGAUGAGUCCGACACAGAAUUUACUACAGCCGCCAAACACCACGCCGUACGGCGGAAAGGGAUUUGGAACACCAUGUCAUACACUACAUCAUCUGGCAAGAUCGCGUGGAGAAGCACCACAAGUUUAGAAAAAGAAGUGGGAGGCAGGUGGCCAUGACCCGGAUGCGGAAGUGACCCACGCUCGGUCUCCGUCGUCGUGGCCUCGCGUUGAGUCGGCUCACUGCAUCGCGCGUGCGGCCGCCGCCCUAGCUCGCCUCGUCGUUGUAGCUAUUAGAAACUAAUUAGUAGAUUAAUUAGCCAAGGGAUGUGUCCAACCCCGAAUAGUUGUGUCUCCUCUCUCUCUCUAUUGCCAACAGGCACCUGUUCUGGAGGGAUGCCUCCGAACAGACACCUCUUCUUCGCACCUCUUCCAGAUGUAUAUAUACUUGAGAAUCAAUAGAAAUCAGGACUAAUCGUCCAUUCACUUUCAUUCAAUCUCGUUUUACUCUAACACGUUAUCAUGCACUUUGCUCUUCAUUAGAGAGAUUGGCUAAAACAGAGAAGAACGAGGAUGAACUAGGUAUUAGGCUUCAUCAAUUCACAAAUCAUUUUCGAACGGCAACAGGAAAGGAGGAACAGAGAAGGAGAUGAAGAAAGGAAUUGAAGAGAACACAAGAUCGCCAAAGACUAAAGUCUCCAUGGGAGACUAAACGAACAUCUUGAUCUCUAAUUGCAGCAGGCCCUCAGGCACGGCCGCAGUUCCUUUUCGUAGGAGAUCAAAUGAAUACAGAAGUCUUGAUCUAAUUGCUACUCUACAAUAACAAGGUGUCCCUCUUCCUAAUCUAAUACUGCACGUAGGACGUAGCACAUAAUAAACAAUCUUAGAAUUAUCUCUGGCCUUAGCCAUGGAAGGGUCGAAUGCCUUGCGCAUGCAAAGGCUGCUCUUAGGGNNNNNNNNNNNNNNNNNNNNNNNNNNNNNNNNNNNNNNNNNNNNNNNNNNNNNNNNNNNNNNNNNNNNNNNNNNNNNNNNNNNNNNNNNNNNNNNNNNNNNNNNNNNNNNNNNNNNNNNNNNNNNNNNNNNNNNNNNNNNNNNNNNNNNNNNNNNNNNNNNNNNNNNNNNNNAACAACCAUAAUUUUUGCAAGUGAUUUUUUUUCUUGCAAAUCCAAUUGUAAUUCAACACAUGAAUUAUGAAGUGUCAUUCUCAAUUUGACAACCUGCAUUUAUUUGUGAAUCACAAGGUAUUGAUGGCAUCUACUGCAUAAUUUGCAGAUUAUCCAUCAUUAUUAUGAGGUCUAUAUUUUAUCAUUUAGAUAAGAUGACUACCUUCAAUGUGUUUUUUCAAAUAUUAAUAUUAAUGUGGCUACCUAAAGAUAUAAUAAGAUAAUAUUGGCAUCUACUGCAAAAUUUUGCAGACUACUCACUAUUACUGCAAGGUCUACAUCAUGUCACUUUGACAAAUGAUUGCCUUCAAAGUGAUUUCAUACAUUUAGCAUAACAUAAGGUAAUAGAAUUAUAAACAUCUACUGACUAUAGUCAGACUAUGUUUUCUAUUACUGCGAGAUCUACACCAUAUUGGUGAUUAUCUUUAAAGUGUUAUCCUAUAUAAAUUGAGGCCUACACAUAUGGCUAUAUGGCAUCAGACGUACUAAAAUUUGCUCCUCUAAAGCAAUUGUUGUUGUUCACUAAAAUGAUUUACUAUCAUAGUAAAUUCAUGCAUGAUUAUUGCAUGUUGAAUGGUAUUAUCUACCAAUAUCAAUUAUUCAAGCCUCUUUUUGCUUGAAUAUGUCAUAGGGAACUACAUAAAUAUUUGCAUUUACUUGUGAUUACCUUCUAUUACAUUGGUAAAAUACAUAGCAAUGAAGCCUACGACAAUAUUUCUAAUUAUAGUGUCGUCCAUCCAUCAUGAUGGACCACAUAAUUAUGACAAUGAUUAAGUGUCUCAACACUUUCGCAAGGUCCACAGGACAUCAUGGUUAUAAUUUCAUAGUGACUAACCAAUGUUAAGCAUGCAAGUCUAUAUGUUUUGGAAGUGACUCUAAAGUCACACACUUCCUCAAGAAUGAAGUCCAAAACAUUAGCAAUAAUUUAAUCACAUGUGUUAUAUUGAAGGAUACACCCAGGUUCACCAAGGAUCAUCUUGACCAUGAUUGUUCUCAAACAAAUCAUUUAUUUAUAGAUGCUACUUACUCCUAGAAGUAAAUUAAAUAAAUGCAUUAGCAUUUUCAAGUAACGCAUGGCUCACAUUUUCAAAUAUAGUAAGUACAUGUUAGGUGAUAUUAUUUAUGGUAAGAUGAUUUAAUACAUCAGUCGUUGUAUCCACCCGAGAUAUUAUUGGUACUAUAACCUCACCUUCGGAAUAUGUGUCAUGGCUAUUCUCUUAAUAGCUAAGUAUGAUCAUAUGUAUUUCAUCUCUCACCAACUUCACUUAGUUCUCAAACUAAGUACAUAAUGGAUGAAUAUUUAUUCACCUUGAAUAUUUCCCUUAAGAGAAACAUGCUGCCCCGAGCACAUUUGGAAUGAUCACCCAAUAAUUUUUCAAGACCUCAUGUCUAUCGCAACUUACAAUUUUGGUAAUUAUAAAAUCAACUUGAAGUUGAGAUCUCAUGAUCUGACAUUUUCAUAUGCAGAUCAGGUUGAAAAGCCCUUGAUACACUUUACAUCUCCUUAUGAUGGCAUUACCAUUUUCAUGGUACAGAAACAUGGAAUUUCAUAAAAUCAUGAGAUACACCCAACGAGUGCUAUUCCAUUCUUUGAAAUUCUUGCUAGUAUUGUGAAUAAUAAUCAAGUCAUUGGUCACAAAAUAGAACCAUGAUGUAUUCAAGGUAAAGUGGAGGCUAAAAUACAACCAAAGAUGGAACUUUUCUUAAUAGGGAAUAUAUCGUUUUCAAACGAUCAACGACAACUCUCAAGUUUGUCAAGUGUGUGGUUAUUUAAACAUCGUACCUAUGAUUACCAAACCCUCAAACAUAUGGUCAAACCACACCAUGAUUUUAUUAAAAGGCAAAUAAGUUCAUUGUGGUAUUUGAAAAUUUGCAAACAUACGACCAGAAACUAUUCUGGUAAAUGAUGUUCUCGAAUCUUCAUGAGAAGGAGAACCAAAAUAUAGUGCAAUAAAAGAAUGAUCAAUUCAUUUGUGCCUAUGAUAUGUUUGCAUAACUCGUUUUUCCGUAAUAUGGGAGACCUCAUGUAAUAUCCCGAUUAUUCCCAAAAUAUUGUUUGGCUAUAGUCGUACUACUACAUGUAGUAUAAAUGUCAAAUAUCCUAUUUCUUGGACAUUAUAUUUGAUAACUUUUGCAUGUAACAAUCAAUUCAUACUCAGUUUUGUUGCGUACACAAUAAUUUUCUAAAUCUUACAAAAUAUUUGGUUUUAAGCCUUACAAUCCAGGUUUGGGGUUGUUUUAGAAAAUUAUUGACAAUUCUAUUGGUCACAACUUAACAAGUUGCAAAAUUUCCCAAAUCAUCAGAUUUUAUGUGCACCACAUGUGCCAUAAGGGAAAUUAAUUUAAAGAACUCUCACCUUACAAUUCUAAAUGAGCCAACUCAUUCUUCCUUGAACACAUUUAGAAGAUAUGUGCAUUCUCAACCAUUGUGUGGUAUUUUAUAGAUACUUUAUGGUACUCAUUAAAACAUUUAUAAAAUGAUUUCUGGUGUGUCUCUUGUCACACAAACCAUGAAUGAUAUAACUAAAUCAAUUGCUCAAAUUCUCAAAGUAAGAGCAAGUUAUCCUAAACAAGGAAUAAAUCCAUUCGAAUGGAAAACUUUGUUGAACUCAUUUCACAAGAAAUAUCUGAUUAUAUAUAAUACUUUAUGUACAUACCCAAAAUUGUUUAGUUCAAUAUCUUAUCAAAGAUAGUGAAAUUAAUAAUAUGACCAAACUUAUAGAAUCAUGAUUUACUAGCCUCAUGCUAGACAAAUACGGCAUUACACACCAUAAGUAUGAUAUAAAUCAUACCAACUGCAUAGCAUACUACUUUCCCCUUUUAGUACUUACGUGGAAAUCAACAAAGUAUUUUCUAUCUGCGAUAAUUCGGUCACAUACCGAUAUCACCACUCCAGCAUACAUCAGUGGGCUCUCACAGAAAAUUAGGGAUCUAAGUGAGGAAUGACAAUUUAUCCGUCAAUCAAAAUUAUUCAUAGCCCGUAUGUUGAUUGCAUCAGCAAUAAGGACAUUUCUGGCAUUAGGGGGAGAUAAGUACCACAAAGAAUGCCAAGAAAUAAAUUAGGAAUGUUAUUCACAUUCAGUCCUUAUAUCCACGUACUCAAAGAAUCUGAACAAGAAGUUUAGAAUCACAUAUUUGCAACACAUUGCAAAUCUGCCACAUACAUUUACUGAUGACAAAGGUGCACUCAAUUUUAUAUUCCUGCAGUAAAGUGUCAGAAAGAGUGGAGGUACCUGAUAAACCACUCUUCUCCCAAAAUGAGAGCAAGAGGGGGAGAAAUCUGACCACACGAGAUAUAAUCUCGCAUAUGCUUCCAAGGAAAUAGAGGAAAUCAAAUCCUCAACUAGUAAAUGUAAUUCAACAUCAAGUUGAAAGACACCUCACUGGAUGCUCAUCAUCCAAAUCCUGACAUAAAUGUGCACAAAUGUUUUGGUGUCGGGACAUCGAAACACCUUGACUCGAUUGUUGUAGGAAAUCACAAGGAGUUAAAAGGAAUAAAUACAUUUCCACAAAUUUCAUCGGUUCCAUCAGAAUCAUAUAAAAUAAAGACUACAUUUGUCGACAUAUAUUUAUUCUCAAAAUUGCUAAAACCUUUUGGGCCCUGAACCAAAAUCCAUGGUAGAGUGCCUCUUGCACUCAUAUUGUUUCACAUAAAAUAAAGCAAGUAAUGAAGAAUAGCCUCGCUCUACAAAUGAGUGGUAUUUACCACAGUAAUACCUACUCCUCAUAAGUAUCUUCCAUAUGGAAUACUAAAAACUUCUCAUUCAUAGACAAAUUCAAUGAGGUGGUGAGAAAGCGAGGCUUGUAGCAAAAGGGUUCACGCAGAGACCCGACAUCAAAUUAUGAUGUAACAUACCCUCUUGGUAUGAGUGGAAUUAAGUUUCGAUAACAAAUAUCAUUGGCAGUACAAAUAAUAUUAUCCAUGUAGUUAAUGGAUGAAGUGACUACAUACUCAUAUGGGUUACUCAUUUCGGAAAUUUAUAACGAAGUACCUCAAGGGCUUACAAUUCCGAAUCCAAAAUAAAUCGCAACAUAUAUGUGUAAAAUUUCAGAAGUCACUCUAUGGCUUGAAAUAGUCGGAAAUCAUAUGGUACUACCGACUAAAUGAGUUCCUUCUUCAAAGGAUUACUCAAAGGAUGAUAAUUUGUUUAUGUGUUAAUAAAGGUAUCCCAAAUUUGAAUUCCUUAUAUCACCUCAGUGUAUAUCGAUGAUUUCAUCAUCAAUGUCUCUACAAGACCUAAACAUACACAAAAUCAUCUCAAGACGGAAAAUUUGGAUUUAACCAAAUUUAGCUUAAGUUUGCAACUUGAGCAUUCUAUCAAGAAUUAGUAUCAGCCUACAUAUAUCCAAAACAUAUACGAGAAGUUCAGUGUGAAUAUAUCAUAACAACAAAAGACAUGUAUGGUCAUACUACCUUUGAUAAGGUACAAAUCUAUUCAUACCUAGGGGUGAUAAUGAAGUGAUACUAGGACCUGAAGUUCUAUAUAUCACUAAUGUCAAAGCACUCAUAUACUUGCAAACUACGUCAGGCCUGACACUAUAUUUGCUAUCUUUAUUCAGAGUGCAACCCCCAACAAAAGGUAUAUGGUUGAUAUAAGUAAUAUCAUCUUAUAUCUGAAGAUUACACUAAAUAUUGAAUAUUUCCAUCAGGAAAUAGAGGAUAUGACCAUGAUAUGAUGUAAUGAUAUUGGCUCUUUAUUUGAUCCCAACGAUGCCAUAUCAAUGACUGAAUUUGCUGGAAUAGCCUUCACAUGGAAUUCAUAUAAAUGGAUUUUAGUGGUUAUUUUCAGUUAUCAUUCUAACAUAAUUGCUUUAUCUAAAGGCAUUGCAAAAUGUGCAUAACUUAGUAGAAUGGUUAACCACACUCAAAAUCAUGUGGUUGAGAUUCAUCAGAAUCACAUAACUUGAUUUAUCAAGAUACUUCCACUUGUGUUACUCAAUACCUAUAGGUUAUAUGAAGAGCAAUAUCAUAAAUCACAUUGCUCGGAAAUUACUUAGCCUCACGGAUUAUAGAAAAGUGAGGAAAUAAUUUGCAAACAUACUACUGUUAUAAUCCAACAGAUUAUACACAAUCUCAUGUUCAUGUCAAUGGAAUUGGUAUGAGACAUCCUUCAUAUUUGCAAAGUUCAGGGGGAGUACUCUCCCAAACUAUAACCUAUUAACAAUCAUCAGAUUGCAUAUAUUGUACUCUUUUUCCCUUGAUGAGUUUUCCCUAUUGGUUUCUCAUAAAAGGUUUUUAACGAGACAAUAUAAACACAAGUGUCUUUAUAUGCCAUAUCAUUUUCUCCUUGUAUUUUUCCCAUUGGGUUUUAAAGGAGUUUUCAAUGGCAUGUACAAUUGCACUUUUUCCCUUAUGUGUUUUCUCUCAAGUUUCUCAUAAUGGUUUUUAGUGAGGCAAUAUCUUCUCAAAGAUCAUAUGUCAUACUUUCUAUUUUCCCUACCAGGGUUUUUAAAGGAAGUACUCAAGACAUAUUAAUUUUUCUCUAAACUUAUCAGUGAGUUUUCUCCUUCUUCAAAGGAUUUCUCAUAUGAGUUAUCAAGAGACAAUGAUCAUCAUAUGUUGCAUCAUUUUCUCCUUAUUUUUCCCACAGGGUUUGAAGGAGUUUUAGCAACAUAUCUACUCUAUUCUCCUCAUAUUUUUCCCACACGGUUUUUGGGGGAGACUCUCAAGAUUAUCUGGAAGAUUUCUCAAGAUGGAAGAUAUAUAUGCAAGAAGCUUUCAACGAUUAAACAUUCAAGGAGCGGUGUUGUACAAGGGGGAGUGUUAGAAACUAAUUAGUAGAUUAAUUAGCCAAGGGAUGUGUCCAACCCCGAAUAGUUGUGUCUCCUCUCUCUCUCUAUUGCCAACAGGCACCUGUUCUGGAGGGAUGCCUCCGAACAGACACCUCUUCUUCGCACCUCUUCUAGAUGUAUAUAUACUUGAGAAUCAAUAGAAAUCAGGACUAAUCGUCCAUUCACUUUCAUUCAAUCUCGUUUUACUCUAACACGUUAUCAUGCACUUUGCUCUUCAUUAGAGAGAUUGGCUAAAACAGAGAAGAACGAGGAUGAACUAGGUAUUAGGCUUCAUCAAUUCACAAAUCAUUUUCGAACGGCAACAGGAAAGGAGGAACAGAGAAGGAGAUGAAGAAAGGAAUUGAAGAGAACACAAGAUCGCCAAAGACUAAAGUCUCCAUGGGAGACUAAACGAACAUCUUGAUCUCUAAUUGCAGCAGGCCCUCAGGCACGGCCGCAGUUCCUUUUCGUAGGAGAUCAAAUGAAUACAGAAGUCUUGAUCUAAUUGCUACUCUACAAUAACAAGGUGUCCCUCUUCCUAAUCUAAUACUGCACGUAGGACGUAGCACAUAAUAAACAAUCUUAGAAUUAUCUCUGGCCUUAGCCAUGGAAGGGUCGAAUGCCUUGCGCAUGCAAAGGCUGCUCUUAGGGNAGCUGAAGAAACUUUUAUGGGCACGAUACUCAAGCGACCCUCUUUUGUGACUCAUGCAGGCGAUUUGCUAGGGAGUCGCUCAUUUCCUUGGCAGCUGCAAGCUCGAAGAUGACCUAUGCCUAAAUAAACAAGAUACAGAAAGAUAACAACCCGGUGGCACAACUUCGUGGGACGACCACAUCGACCAAGGCAAUGUUAUGCUGGCCAAAACAAUGCAAAGGCAGCAGUGCUUUUCCAAUCACGGAGUCUACCAGAGCUUAGAGGAGCCGGCGUUUCUAAGCACAUGAGACAAGAGGAACAGAUUCAGAUUCCUUCCGAACUCAAGGAUCAGGCUUAUUUAUCAGUUAAUAGCAUGAGACGGAGUCCUGAAAGAUUAGCAAACAACACUACAGCAACUUGUGUGCCAUCACUACUCUGAUCAAAACCUAAGACAAAAAGCAAAGUACACUGAUCAUAUCGGUGAGGCUACACAUCUGCAUUCACCCGAUAAAAAUCUCAGGUGAUAUUCAUCCUAUCUUUUUUUUCACCUACAUAUUAAUUCAUCCGAGAACGAUUACUCUAGCGUAUAGUAUUUUUUACGCAGGACAAUUAUUCAUUACAAAAGCGGUGGCAUAUUGCGAGUAUGAAGCUCGUGUCAAUCAAAGCCACGGGUGACUCACUAUCCUUGUCGGCCUACAAUGUCAUGGGCGAUUCACCGUCUGCGGCGGUCUACAACAACACGGGCAACUCACCGUCCAAGGCGGCUUAUGCUACUGCAAAAAAAGAGCUUCCAACGGCGCUAGAAAUAGGAGUAUUUACGGCGCCAGAAAUCCUUCUGCUACGGCUACGCCUUAAGGGACUUCCUAGGCAUAUAUGCAAAGGAUUUCCCCGUGGCCUUGGAGCCUUGUGUUGGUGUUCCCUCGAAGCGUAAAGGGUGAUGUAGCGCAGUGGUGGUAAGUAUUUCCCUCAGUUUUGAGAACCAAGGUAUCGAUCCAGUGAAGGAGUAUCACAAGAGCCUGCACAAACACAAAAAGCUUGCUCCCAACGCUAUGAAGGGGUUGUCAAUCCCUUAUAGAUUGUUCACCAAGUGAAAACUGAAAGCAACAAAGUAACAAAGCAAAGUAAAAGCGAAAGUGGAAACGAUAGGUGUGAAUAGACCCGGGGGCCGUAGUGUUUCUAGUGGCUUCACUCAUGAAAGCAAGUAGACGAUGGGUGAACAAAUUACUGUCGAGCAAUUGAUAAAACCGCGCAAAGUCGUGACGUCAUCUAUGGCAAUGAUAAUAUCUAUAGGCAUCACAUCCAAAACAAGUAGACCGAUACUUUAUGCAUCUACUACUAUUACUCCACACGUCGACCGCUAUCCAGCAUGCAUCUAGUGUAUUAAGUCCAAAAGAACAGAGUAACGCCUUAAGCAAGAUGACAUGAUGUAGAUGGACAAUCUCAUAUCAACGACAAAGCCCACCUUGUUACCCUUGAUGGCAACUACUCAAUGUGUGCCUUGCUGCCCCUACUGUCACUGGGAAAGGUCACCACAUGGUAAGAACCCAAAACCAAGCACUUCUCCCAUUGCAAGAAUCAUAGAUCUAGUUGGCCAAACAAAACCCAAGACUCGGAGAGACUUACAAGGAUAUCAAAUCAUGCAUAUAAGAAAUCAACAAAGACUCAAAUAUAUAUCAUAGAUAAUCUGAUCACAAAUCCGCAAUUCAUCGGAUCUCGACAAACACACCGCCAAAGAAGAUUACAUCGGAUACAUCUCCAUGAAGAUCAUGGAGAACUUUGUAUUGAAGAUCCAAGAGAGAGAAGAAGCCAUCUAACUACUAACUACGGACCUGUAGGUCUGAAGUGAACUAGUCAUGAGUCAUUGGAGGGGCGAUGAUGAUGAUGAUGAAACCCUCCAACUCCAAAGUCCCCUCCGACAGGGCACCGAGAAGGGUCUCCAGAUGAGAUCUCGCGGAAACGAAAGCUUGCGGCGGCGGAAAAGUAUUUUCGUGGCUCCCUUGAUUUUUUUUAUGAUUUUUAGGGAAUAUAUAGGUGCAAGAUCUAGGUCAGGGGGGCGCCAGGGAGGCCACAAGCCUGCCCACCGCCGCAUCCCCCCUGGUGGCGGAGUGGGGGCUUGUGGGCUCCCUGUAGCCCUCCUGGCUUGGCCCACAGGCCCCCUGAUCUUCCUUCGUUCGGGAAAAAAUCAUUUCAGGGAUUUUAUUCCGUUUGGACUCUGUUCCAAAAUCAGAUCUGAAAAGAGCCAAAAACACAGAAAAAACAGGAACUGGCACUUGGCACUGAAUUAAUAAGUUAGUCCCAAAAAAUAUAUAAAAGGUACAUAAAACAUCCAAAGAUGACAAGAUAACGGCAUGAAACCAUCAAAAAUUAUAGAUACGUUUGAGACGUAUCAGCUUACAAUGACGCGGCCAACUCUCAUGUCCGCGUGACCAGGGCGACUUACAAUGACACGGCCAACUCUCACGUCCGUGUGAUCAAAGAUGGAUUACAAUGACACAACCGAUGCUCGGGUCCAUACAACUCUCGCAUUCCAUAUCAACAAGUCGGUGCAGUGCUCGCCUUUACGAGCCAGCCAACAGACGGACACAAGACACCUCUCCCAUGGUCCGUUUGAUAUUAACUCACCGGUGCAGUGCUAGCCUGUAUGAGCCGCCCAACAGACUGAUGCAAAACGCCAGCCCCGCGGUCCGGAUGACAUCAACAUAUCGGUGCAGUGCUCGCUUGGAUGAGCCGCCCAACACACACGCGCAAACUGCCGUCUGUUCUCCAUCAAAUAUAUCGGUGCAGUGCUCACCUAUGCGAGCCGCCCAACGGACACAUGCAAGUCGCCUCUGCGGACCAUCUCCCCCAACAACAUUGGAGCAAAGAAAAAAAUGACAUUCAUGUCUUACACAUCAUCACCAAAACACGGACCAGCUCUAAACUUGCGUCGGGUUGCUCAAUGAAUAGAAACAUUGGCCAAUGCUAUCUAUUUCAGGAUAUCAAAAGUAACACGAGAGUUUGUCAUGAAGGAUCCAUCCCUGAUGAAGCUACAGUUGGAGCCAGUCAUCAUUGAGCCGACAAUUCAAAGCAAUAGAAAAAGAAAAGGAAAGUGGCCUUGGAGGAACCGCGAGAGCCGGACUACCUGAGAAAUAAGCAUGGGUCAAAAGUCCAUUAUUCACCAUCAACCCUAUCUCGGUUUAUGUCACAAUCAAGUAUGGACAUUCUCAAGCCGCCUCCUUGAAGUCGACUUAAGACUCGGGGGCUACACAGGCAUAGACUCGGCAGAUUCAACCGGGCUGAAUAAUUCAAGAACCACGGGUCAUUAAAGGAAAAUUAAGCCGGUCUCGAGGGCUGAUGCCUCAUUGACGAGAAGAUUUAAAGAUCACCUAAGAAGACAAGUCGCCAUGAUGCGACCACCCAAACAUGGGUGCCCGACCUUAUUGGCGGAUGAUUCAUAAGUCGCCAAAGAGGAUGGCGCUACCAGUAUCAAAGAGGGUGAGCCGCCAUAUUGCACUCGUCCAAACAUGGGUGCUGGUAAGCCAAGGAGGACCAAACAGUUGCCAUGAGCAUGGUUCAAACAUAGGCACCCAAUUAUGUUCUUGAGAAUUAACUCGGCUUACUUGGGGGCUACUAGCUUCCCAAGUCGUUUUGCAGUAAGAGCGUAAACUUCUGCAAUCCUAUGCUCGACUUUUCCCUGAUCAUAGGUCAUUUGGGGGCUUCCGACUCACUGAGUUUAGCCUGAAUACCCUCUUGGCUAGCGAAAAUUUAUCGCAUUACAAUGGUUAUAUUGGACCGUAUGUUUGGCGACUCACCCUUCACGCCCCUUAGAAAUCUUGGCGUGCCAAUCCAAAUUGGACCCUGAACUCCCAACGUUAAAACGAGUGGAGCUGGUGGGAGUCGGCAUAUGGAAAAUAGACAAACCAUGGGUUCACUGAACCUUCUUCACUAAAGCUUGACUCGCGCCUGAUUAGCCGGUCUAAACAACUAAGGUUGUUGCAAAAGCCUCUUUAGGGUAGCACUAGAGCAUUGCAAGCUCAUCCUACCCUGCCGUGACUCACUGAGCCGGCCGUCCUGACUCACUGAGCCGGCUUAACCUGUUUUGGGUACCACUAGAGCCUUGAGAGCUCGACCUACCCGCCGUGACUCACUGAGCCGUCUGCCAUGACUUACUGAGUCGGUUUAUUUAAAAUAAUUUGAUGACAUACUAUGGUGUUGCCACCAUUAUUCUAUCAUAUACAUGCAUCAUAUUGCACUGCAUCAUGCAUCAUACAUACAUAUCAUGACGGUCUUAAACCAGGUCAAAGCAUAAUUUUUUGCAUGAGCAAAUAUAUCUUUAAUAGCCAAUUUGGUUGGAUUUUCAUCAUCAUUCAUCAUAACCAGUGUUAAAUGAUUGGGGUUUUUAAGCCAGCUAGGAAGAAUUGACUAUUAUCGAAGAGUCGCCCUAUCACAUAUAAUGUCGGGUCAUCUAAUUGACCGGCUCUUUGAUUUCUUCAACUUGUGCUCUGUAGUAAACUACAACACUUAUGGAUUUCUCAACCAUGUAUUUGUGGGGUUACAUUGCAACCACGGCCAAGGAUUUCUUUCACCACAAAGGUAUCAUGAGAGUGGAUAUGAUUCUACAAUGGAAGGAAUAGUCCCAAGUCACUGCAGGCACACAACUCGGCACUUGGGGGCUACAUUACUCAAAUCAAGAUUACAUUGAAGUAUGGAAGUCCCAUGUCGCUGCAAGCAUGCACCAUGACACUUGGGGGCUAAUGCAAACUGCUCUUUCAAAUCAUCACAUCAUGAAUAGACCCGGCUAUUUCAAGGAGAUAAGCCGGCCCUGGGGGGGCUACAGGUCGCUCUUUAUUCAAGUAUGGAUUCAACGAAGAACCGGCUCAUCAUUUUUGUAUUGAUCCGGCCCUUGGGGGCUACGCAUUGCCCCUCAAGUUUACAUAGUCAGAUCUACAAAGUCCCUCCUCAAUGUUGCAUAAUGACCCGACCCUUCGGGGCUACAUCAUAUGAUGUUUUAUUUUCAAAGGAGAAGAACGUGGAAGUCCCGAGUCGUCGCAAGCAAUCGACCCGUCACUUGGGGGCUACACUAUUCGGAUCAUAAUUUCUAAAGUCCCAGGUUGUUUUAGGCAAGACAACCCGGCACUUGGGGGCUACAGCACUAAGUUGUUUCAUAGAUCAUGAGGUUCAAAUUGAAGACGCAGACCAUCACACACUGAUGACCUGGCCCUUGGGAGCUACACCAGCUGAAGCUUUAUAAAUGUAAGAUGAUUACAAGUCCCAGGCUGCUGCAAGGAAGACAACUCGACACUUGGGGGCUACAUGGUCAAAGAUAUUAUUGAAAAACACCAAAUCACCAUAAACUGAUAAACUUGGAGUUUGGGGGCUACAGGUAAUAUGGAUAUAUCAAAAAAUUGAAGAGCACAUUUCAUUUCGUCAUGGAGGUGAAGUACUGAGAGACUGGAUCAACAUAUUUUUAUCUAGUUGAAGAAUUGAAAGACCGGCUCAACAUCACACGGAUUUCUUUAUCCCCAAUAAUUCGAUAUAGUCAAUUGGAGUUCAGUUGUUUGAUGGGGCAUUACCAAUAAUCAUGACCCGCCAUUAGCAAUCAUGACCUGCCAUUGUCAAUCAUAACCUGCCGAAGCAAGAGAAGUCAGUUCAACAUUGUGUGGAUUUCUUAUUCCCCAAAUUUUCAUCAAGCCAAAGUAUUGGAGGCCGAUUCAAUGGCAUAUGUAUUUUAUUAUGGAGGACACGUACCUGCAAAAUGAUUUAGGACAGUUCAAAGAACAAACCCAGAUUUUUCAAGGAGCCACUCAGUAAAUCAAGCCGGCCAGAGGAGCAAACCGGUCCCUUAACAUAUUUAUUAUUCUUAUUUCAGGAGCUUACCAUGAAUAGAUUCAAGCUAACCUGGGGGCUAAUGUCGGGGAUAUACCCCGCAGUGUAACCCGACUUGAAGUAUGACCCGCCAAGGACUUGGCGACACACCAGUGACUCAUAUUUGACCCCGCAGGCGACUCACACAAACGACAAAGGCCCAAGGCCCGGCAUGCACCAUGGCAUAAGGCGGCUCAUAGCCCAAGAGGGCCGGCUCACAAGAGAAGGCCCAAGAAGGGGAAAGACUCCCACAAGAAGGAAACAAGACCUGAAUUAGGAUUCAAGAGAGACUAGUCCUAUUCCUACUCCUAGUAGGACUCUACAUGUAAACCUACCCCUUCCACCUAUAUAAGGAGGGGUAAGGUGCCCCAAGAGGGACAAGAUUCACAACUUAGGUCUAGACAAGACAAAUCAUGAGAUAGAUAGAUUAGACACCCACGAGAUUAGAGGUGUUGAGUCUGCACCCUUGUAAUCGAGAUCAUCAUCUUCAUUAAUGAAACACAAGCAGGACGUAGGCUUUUACCUCCAUCAGAGGGGCCGAACCUGGGUAAACUCGCAUCUCUCAAUUCCGACCAACCCCUCUCAAGCCACCACAUGGUUGUGAUGGCCUCACACCUAAGUUCUCUCACAAGGACAUAUGUCGUGACAAAAUCACUACAGCAGCCAAACAACCAGGGCUGCUUGCAGAGCAACCCCAAGCAGCUGAAUACUGGUCAGUACCGUGUUUUCAGCACCAACACGUGCAAAAGGGACAAGAAAGUCAAAUAGAGGGCGAUAAACAUGGCAGAGCCGGCGGUUCCCAGAUAUCUCAAUUGGUCUGAAUAGCCCAUCACAUGGAGUAGAGCCAAUCACCCACCCCAGGUUGAUAACCUUAGCGACUUAGCAUUGGUGGUGGCGCCACAGGUUGGGGGAUCCACCCUCUCCAAGAUUCUCAUGGAUGGAGGCAGCAGCAUCAACAUCUUGUAUUAUUGAUAACUUCCGGCGAAUGAAUUUUUCCGAGAGCGACUUGAUGUCGUUGACCACGAUCUUUCAUGGCAUUGUCCCAGGCAAGUCAGUGUAUCCAUUUGGGCGGAUCAAGUUAAAUGUGGAUUUUGGUGAUGAAUAUUAUUAUAGGAGCGAGGCUCUGAUGUUUGAGGUCAUCAAGAUCAAGAGUCCUUAUCAUGCUCUGUUGAGCGGUCGGCUUACGCCCGCUUCAUGGUCCGACCCUGCUAUAUGCACCUCAAGCUCAAAAUGCUGGUUCUUAAAGGUACUAUCAGAAUCAAUGGGGACCGAAAGAUAGCAUGGGAAUGCGAAGAAGGAGACGUUGCCUACGCUGAGUUGGCAUGCGCUGCUGAAGAGUUGAAGUUUCACAAAGCCAAUGUAGACCCAGCUGACAUGAGUCCGCUCAAAAAACCAACUGUUGAUUCUGAGCCUCCCCUCAAGUUCAAGCCGGCAGAUGACACCAAGCAAGUUGGUUUCACCCCAGGCGACUCUUCUAAGAAGUUUACUAUUGGGACAGGCCUCGGUCCCAAAUAGGAAAGCGUUCUCAUCGAGUUCAUCCGUGAGAAUAGGGACAUCUUUGCAUGGAAGCCUUCUAACAUGCCAGGAGUACCGAGAGAAUUCGUUGAGCACCACCUCAAUGUGGAUCCCAAGAUGAAGUCGGUCCAACAGUACCUCCGUCGUUUUAACGAGGAGAGACGCAACGAAAUUGGGGAAGAAGUCCCCUGCCUCUUAGCCGCCCGCUUCAUCAUCGAAGUUUUUCAUCCUGAGUGGUUGGCUAACCCGGCCUUAGUUCUCAAGAACAACGACACUUUUCGCAUGUGCAUAAAUUAUACAGAUCUCAACAAAGCUUGCCCGAAGGAUCCUUUUGCCCUCCCCCGUAUCGAUUAAAUCAUUGACUCUACGGCGGAUUGUGAUCAUUUGUGCUUUCUGGAUGCGUACAAUGGUUACCACCAGAUCAUGAUGGCCAAAGAGGAUCAGGAGAAGACGGCUUUCAUAACUCCCUACGGCGCUUUCUGCUAUGUGUCUAUGCCCUUUGGUCUUAAGAGUGCGGGGGCGACUUAUCAAUGCUGCAUUCACUGUUUGAACAGUCAGAUUGGGCGCAAUGUUCAUGCCUACGUGGAUGAUAUCAUGGUGAAAUCCCAGAAGAAGGAGAUGCUUUUAAACGAUCUCAAGGAGAUGUUUAACAACCUUUGUGUGUACCUAAUGAAGCUUAACCUGGCCAAAUGUGUUUUGGAUGUUCCUGCAGGCAAGUUAUUGGGCUUCCUGGUGUCAGAGCGAGGUAAUGAAGCUAACUCGGAUAAACAAUCAAGGCAAUAACCUUGCUUGGUAAGCUGGCCAACAUCAACCAAGUCCAGCGCAUGGCGGGUCGUAUUGCGGCGUUGAGCCGUUUCAUAAGUCGCCUCGGUGAGAAGGACAUUCCCCUUUACCAGUUGCUCAAGAAAACGGAUCAUUUUGUUUGGACGGAUGCGGCCAACGAAGCUUUUCAAGCCCUCAAGAAACAACUUGUUGAGCCGCCUGUUUUAGCCGCCCCGACAGAUAAGGAACCUAUGCUACUUUACAUUGCUGCUAAUUCAAAGGCAGUAAGUGUGGUGGUGGUUGUUGAGCACAUGGAAGAAGGCAAAGAAUAUCUGGUUCAGCGGUCGGUGUAUUUUGUUAGUGAGGUGUUGACUUUGUCUAAUCAAUGGUACCCGCAUUGGCAGAAGCUAGUCUUUGGGAUUUUUAUGGCAAGCCGGAAGUUGAAGCAUUACUUUCAGGAGCACCCAAUCACUGUGGUCAGUUCAACGCCAAUUGGGGACAUUAUACAGAACCGCAAAGCUACUAGGUGGAUUGCUAAGUGGGCAAUUGAGCUUGGUCCCUGCCAUGUGAAGUAUAUGCCUCGCACGGCUAUCAACUCUCACGCUUUGGUGGAUUUCAUCAAUGAUUGGACCGACAUGCAGAUUCCAGAAGAGAGACCCGAUAACACGUACCGGACUAUCCACUUUGACGGUUCUAGGCAGUUGGAAGGCUCGGGAGCUGGCGCAGUGUUAUCUUCCCCAUGAGGUGACAAGUUUUGCUAUGUCUUGCGCCUCAUGUUUCCUUGCACCAACAACGCGGCUGAGUGUGAGCCUCUGCUCCAUGGGCUUAGAUAAUCUAAGGAGAUGAACCUCAGCCUGUUCAGAUGUUUGGGUGACUCAGAUUUAGUGGCUCAACAAGUCUCUAGAACUUGGGACUCCAAAGAUCCACUCAUGGCGGCUUAUAGGCAUGCAGUAACCGAGGUGGCGGGUCAUUUUAACGGCUACGAGGUUGAUCAUAUUGAUCUUGAACAGAAUGAGGCGGNNNNNNNNNNNNNNNNNNNNNNNNNNNNNNNNNNNNNNNNNNNNNNNNNNNNNNNNNNNNNNNNNNNNNNNNNNNNNNNNNNNNNNNNNNNNNNNNNNNNUUUUUCUUGCUUGACAAGAUAUGGUUCCCGACAUUCCGUGACUAAGGAACAAACAAAAUGCAAAGAAAAAUCGACAGGAAUUUCAAUGCCACCUUGAUUCAAAUUCUUUAUAGUUGAAGAAGUCAUGCUAUGUUCUCAUCAUUGAUUUUAAAUGGAUGAAUUUGAAUUUACAGGAAAAAGGGGAAAAUCAUUUUAUUCCCUCUCAUUCAAAAGUUUUGAAAAAUUUCAAACUUCACUCAAGUUUCAAUCACUCAAACAAACAAACNNNNNNNNNAUCUAAUAAUUAUAUUAACAUUCCAAAAUUUGGGAUGUUACACCCAACUACUGGAAAUCAUUAAGGUAAGCCCAACCAUAGCGUUAAACAUACAGUCCUCUUUACUCCCAUACAGGCACAACUCCCUUACUCGGAUGUAAGUUUCUUUCACUCUCGCCAACCACUAUAAGUGAAUCAUGAAUAUAUUGCAAACCCUUCAGCGUGUAUCCUUCAUGUGUGUGCAUCACUAAAAGCACCUUAUCAAUACACAACCCAUAUCAAAAACACCAUCUCACAAUUAACCCGUAGGACAAAACGGAUAUACUCAAACAUCAUAGGAUAACCAUAUAUCAUUGCGAAAUAGUAUGUAGCAUUGGGCAUCAUGUUUAAGUACAGAGUUACAUUGUGAAAAUAUGUGUUAUACCGCUGCAUAGAGGGGGAGAGAUUGGAAUUGAAGGUGGCAAGAUUGUUGUUGUAGAUUACCAUCAUGCUCCUUGCCCCGGCGGCACUCCGGCGCCACCAUGAGAGAGGGGGCAGAGCCCGCUCCUUCUUCUUCUUCCUUGGACUCCCCCUAGAUGGGAGAAGAGUUCCUCCUAUCGCCCAUCGCCUCAAUGGCGGCGGAGGGGCAGGAGCCCUUCCAAGAUUGGAUCUCCCACUCUGUUCUCUUUUGUUUCACAUUCUUGUUUUCUCGCCCUUCACUGUUUAUUAAAUUCCUGGAGAUCCGUAACUCCGACCGGGCUAAAAUUUUCAGGGGAUAUUUAUCCAUAAAUUAGGUUUCUUGUUCUCCAAGGAGAGCCACAACUGACUUAAGGGGUGCCCACUCGACACCACCCCGCGCCAGGGGUCCCAGGCGCACCCUGGUGUCAAGUGGAGGUCAUGGGCCUCCGUUUUCCUUGGUUCCACCUCCCAAAAAUCACAUAUAUUCCAAAAUAAUUAUUUGUAAAUUUUUAUCGCGUAUGGACUUCAUUUGAUAUGGAUAUUUCGAUAAACACAAAAAACAUGUGACAAACAGGAACUCGCACUUGGCACUGGAUCAAUAUGUUAGUCCAAUAAAUCAUAUAAAUUGUUGCCAAAAAUAUGUGAAAGUUGUAUAAUAUUGACAUGGAACAACCAAAAAUUAUAGAUACGACGGAGAUGUAUCACCAUCCCCAAGCUUAAUUCCUGCUCGUCCUGGAGUAGAUAAAUGAUAAAAAAGAUAAUUUUUAAUGUGGAAUGCUACCUAGCAUGAUCUUGAUCAUAUAUCUAAUCAUGGCAUGAAUAUUAAGAUACAAGUGAUUCAAGGCAAUAGUCUAUCAUUUGACAAAAAAAGGCAUCCAUACCCAGGUUUACUAGCAAACAGUCAUGUCCUUUCAAAAUAACAAUGCUAAAUAAAGCUAUCCGUACAAAAUCAUAUAGCCUAUCAUGCUUGGUCUUCCUAGCAUAAGGUAUAAAUCAUGAUCACCCUAGUGUCAAAUCAAGCAAUUGGAUCGUUGUUUUUAACGCGCUUCAGCUUUUUAUUACUCACUCGAUACAUGAGCGUGAACCAUGGAUAUAUCAUAAAGGUGGAAUAGAAUUUCGUGGUAGGUUUCAAAGGGGGUAAAAGUGAAGAAGAAAGUCUCGCAUCAACUCAGCAUAUCAACGGGCUAUGAAGAUGUCCAUCAAUAGAUAUCAAUGCGAGGAGUAGGGAUUGGCAUGCAACGGAUGCACUAAGAGCUAUAAGUGUAUGGAAUCUCAACGUGAAAACUAAGUGGGUGUGCUUCAAACUCUAAUUAAAAAUUCCCAAUAGUUUAUGAAAGUGACAACAUAGGAGACUCUCCAUAUGAAAAACAUGGUGCUACUUUGAAGCACAAGUGUGGAAUUUGCAUGCUCCUUCUCUUUUUUCUCUCAUUUUUUCUUUCUUUCUCUUNNNNNUUCUCUUUUUUUGUGGUGGGAUCAUUUGGCCUCCCCCAUUUUUCAUUUUUCGUUCGGAGUCUCAUCCCGACUUGUGGGGAAAUCAUAGUCUCCAUCAUCCUUUCCUCACUGGGAAAAUUCUCUAAUAAUGAUGAUAAUCACGCUUUUAUUUACUUACAACUCGAUACCUAAAACAAAGUAUGACUCUAUAUGAAUGCCUCUAGCAGUGUACCAAGAUGUGCAGUGAUCUAGCGUAGCAAAAUAUUAUAAAAAAUGAACAAGCCAUGUAAAUAUCAUGCUAGCUAUCUUAUGAUCAUGCAAAGCAAUGUGAUAGUGGAAGUACAAGUCAUAUGAAGUGACGGCAGAGGUUGCAUGGCAAUAUAUCUAGGAAUGGCUAUGGAAAUGCCAUAAUAGGUAGGUAUGGUGGCUGUUUUGAGGAAGAUAUAAUAAGGCUUAUGUGUGAUAGAGCGUAUCAUAUCACGGGGUUUGGAUGCACCUGCGAAGUUUGCACCGACUCUCGAGGUGAGAAAGGGCAAUGCAUGGUACGGUAGAGGCUAGCAAAUUGCGGAAAGGUAAGAGUGUGUAUAUCCAUGGAUUUACAUUAGUAACAAAGAACUCACAUACUUAUUGCAAUAUUUUAUUAGCUCACUCGAAGCAAAGCACUACUCGCAUGCCCCUAGGGGGAAGGUUGGGAGGAGUUAACCAUCGCGUGACUCCGAUUAUAACAGCACAAAGCAUUUCAAUCAAGGAUAAAUUAUGCUCCAACUCCAUCGCGUAACCAGAGAUUAUAUGUGCAUGCUUCAGGAAUCACAAACCUUAACAUCAAUAUUCGUACUAAUCCAUCAUCAUCAACUAGUGCACCCACAUAUUUCUAUCAUAAUGUCGCAAAACUAUUACCAGGAAUCAAAAACAUCAUACUCAGUGCUCUACAAGUUUUAUGUAGGAUUAAUGCCUAACCAAGUAAAUGACCAAUUCCUUUUGACUCUCUAAAUAGAUAUAAGUGAAGCAUGAGAGUUUAGUUAUUUCUACAAAAGACCACGCUCUAAUAAAUAUAAGUGAAGCAGAAGAGCAUUCUACAAAUAACGGUUUUCUAUAUAUAGAGAAACACGCAAUCCAAACAUCAAAUGAGAUAAGUGAAGCACAUGAAGCAUUCUAUAAGACCAUACUCAAAAUAUAUAAGUGAAGUGCAAUGAGCAUACUAUAAAUCAACAAUGGACUAUCUCAUACCAGCAUGGUGCAUAAAAUACAAGUGAAAACUAAACACAAAAGUUGCUCCAACAUUUACGCAUAUCGCAUGAACAAAACAAAGCCGAAAACAUACCGAUAUUGUUGCAGUACGAUGGGAUGCCUUCCGGGGAAUACCCAACCUUAGACGCUUGAGUCUCCUUGGAUAUUUACUUGGGGUGACUUGGGAAUUACCAAUCUUGAACUCUUGCCUCUCCUCCAUCUCCUCAUAUAGAGACCUCCUCGAACUUCGAACACUUGAUCCACACAAAACUUAACAGAAAACUAAUGAGAUCCAUUAGUAUAAUAAUGCAAAUUACUACCUUAAGUAGUGUUUAAAACCCAUUAAUAUUUUGUUUUUCUAUUAUAGCUACUAUAAUAUAACUUCCCCCUCGCUUCUACCAUUGAUACAAUCGAUAGUCUCAUCAAAACAAGCAAAAUAAUGCAUCAAAAACAGAAUUUGUCAAAAAUAGGACAGGCUGUAGUAAUCUUAACAUUGACAUAUACUUCAGUAACUUCAAAACUUAUGAAAACUUAGGACGAAAUAGGAAAUUUCCAUAGCAUUACUGUUUAUUUUUUUAGGAACUUUCGACAGUCGAGUAAAAAAUGUAAAUUCAUGCACUACAGCCAAAGUUUCUGUUUUUACACCGCACAUACCAACAAGCAAUCUAAUCAUCCUAAAUGCAAAUCUUGUCACAUUAUUUUUAUAAUACAAUGGACUUUUACAAGGAAAUAAUUAUUUUUGUAGAAAAUUUUAUGUAAUCAAGAUUCAUAAUAUAUCCAUGGGCAUGAACAAAGUUCAAGUCUAGCACCCACAUCAACGAUGCUCGUCCUUCUCACUUUCACUUUUCUUUUUGAAAAGUUUUAAGUUCCCCACUUUAUUUCCCCCCCCCCCCCCCCUGUUUUUAAAUAUUUCAAAAGAACAAAACAUAAAUAAAUGGCUCUCUAAAACCUUCGGGUUGUCUCCCUAGCAGCUCUUUCUUUAAAUCCAUUAAGCUAGGCAUAAAAUGCUCAAGUAAUCGGUCCACCAGGAUCCCAAGGUAUAUCAAAGCUAAUUUUAAUUAACAAUGAUUUGUAAUUUAGUAGCGAGCACAAAGCAAUAUAUAUCAUGCAAUGAUGAAGUCUAACUCUCUUCCUAUGCAUCGACAUGUCAUAAAAGAACAAUUCAUGCACAUCAGGUAAAGGCCAAUACAUACCAUAAGCAGUUUCUUGCAAUUUUCUCAUGUUGGAAACAUAAGGGGGUGGAGAUGUAGUUCCUCUAUCAUAACAAUUGCAAGUAUGAGCAGCAAGCACAUGAAUAUUAUAUCCAUCAAAAUCAUCAUGUGAAGUGGUAAAACGCAACCCAUCAAUAUAAUCCUUAAUAAGUGCAAACUUCUCUUAUAUAGUGUAGUUGGUAGAAUUCAAAAAUAUAAAGGACUAUCAUGUGUGGGUGCAAUAUUAAAAAUUGCAUGCCUAACAUAAGGAACUACAACAGAUUCAUCUUCAUAGAAGGGCCGGUCCUGAGAUCUCGGGGGCUCGGGGAAAACUUUAACCUGGGGCCUAUAAUAUAAAUACCAAUAAUAAUAAUCGAUGUAUGCCCCCCCCCCCCCAUAUAUAUAAUGUUACCAAGAAACACUUAAAAUGUUCUGAAACAGUUCCAUAUAAGAUAACUUACCAAUACUACCUUAAUAAAAAAACUAAUUUUUUUUGAAUACGUACUUGGAUGACCUAAAUGUGAUAAAUUUUAAAAAUAUAUUGAUUAAUUCAAAACUAGUGUGGACUUACAAAGGUACGUACUAGAAAAACUCAAUUAAAUCUUAGUGAUUAUGAAGUUCAACUCAUAAAGAACACAUCUCUGAUAUAUACUUAUCCGUAAAAAUAUCCAAUCAAUCCAUUAUGAAUGACUCUAUGUAAACAUAUAGAAUUCAAAUAUAUAAGAUGUUACUGAUAAACAUUUAAAUCAACCCAAAAAAUAUUUUCAAAUGAAAUAAUGUAUACAUACAAUGCAGAAAAAAUGGCAUCAAAAGUUAAACGGCGAAAUAUAUGCAUCAUACGAAGGUCAAUUACUUACUUAGCCAUGUACAUAUAGGUGCGUCGGAUGGGUCAUAUUCUUGUUGGUGAUCGCCUUUUUUUAUGAGGGACUUGUAGGUGAUCUCCUGACUAAGCGCUCAGCCAUGACUCAAUGUAGAGUGGCGUGUGUGUCAAUGCGUGUUUGCUCGACGAUGAGGCCAUGAGGAGGUAUGGACAGCCACGUGGAGUGGAGAUCGGAGAGCGACGCUUGUGAAAUGACAACCGCCGAACAGACAUGAAUAGGGCAUGAUGGCGUCACAAAGAGAUGAACUCGUGCUUUGAUCUGAGAUGUAAAUUAGGAAACCAAAACAGAGAUUUGUGCGUACGAGGCUAUAACUGUGAGAUAGCGGACGAGGAGUCAUGGAACUGCGUGACAGCCUAACGAUUAAAUGAGCCGCUGCGUGCCCAACUCAUGGGCAAUGUGUAGUUUCGACGGGCUGGCUGGGCUGCCAUAGGUGUGUGUAUGGGUUGCCUACUUACCCAGGUGGGGGCCCUGAAUUUUGGGGGCCUGGGGCGGCCACCCCCUGCCCCCCCUCAAAGCCGGCCCUAUUUCAUAAGCAUAAUUCAUAUUGGCAUCAUGGCCACAAUCAUAGAAAGCAUCAAGUUCAUUAAAAAGGGAUAUUUCAAAUGAAUCCAAGGGAUCAUAGCAAUCAUCAUAGCAUUCUUCCUUUGGUAUGUGAAAGGGAAAUUAAACAAUGUAUGAGUUGAAAAGUUACUUUUAUUAUAAGGUAGGCACGGGUAGCUAAUCCGCUCUUCCUCGUUUUGUUCUUGAAUCUCCUCAUCAUCUUUUUCAUCCACUGAGCUCACAGUAUCAUCAAUUUCUUCUUCCAUAGACUCCUAGAAAAUAUUAGUCUCUUCCAAGGCAUCCAUCUUUUUUUCAAUAAAUUCAUUAAUAUCAGCAUUGUAUUCAUAAUUAUUGUAGCAAUAUUGAAGUAUGGAAAAAAAUUAGAUUUGUAAGGAACAUCAUCAUACUUUUCAAGAAAAGAAGCAAUUUCAUAAGCACCUUUAAAAGCAACAACAUUGAGCUAGUCUUAGAGGCGAGAUUGAUACGUCUCCAUCGUAUCUAUAAUUUUUGAUUGUUUCAGGCCAAUAUUCUACAACUUUCAUAUACUUUUGGCAACUUUUUAUACUAUUUUUGGGACUAACAUACUGAUCCAGUGCCCAGUACAGUUCCUGUUUGUUGCAUGUUUUUGUUUCGUAGAAACUCCAUAUCAAGCAAAGUCCAAACGAGAUAAAAACUUACGGAGAUUUUUUGGAAUAUUUGUGAAUUUUGGGAAGUGCAAUCAACAAAAGGCGGUGCCCAAGGGGGCCACAAGCCAUAGGGGCACGACCUGGGUGGUAGGUUGCGUCGGGCAGGCUUGUGUCCACCCCGUAAGGCAGUUUGUGCCCUUCUAUCAUCGCAAGAAAGCUAAUUUCCAAAUAAAUAUCGUGUUAAAAUUUCAUCCCAAUCGGAGUUAUGGAUCUCCGGGAAUAUAAGAAACGGUGGAAGGACAAAAUCUGGCAACGCAGAAAUAGAAAGAGACACACACACACACACACACACACACACNNNNNNNNNNNNNNNNNNNNNNNNNNNNNNNNNNNNNNNNNNNNNNNNNNNNNNNNNNNNNNNNNNNNNNNNNNNNNNNNNNNNNNNNNNNNNNNNNNNNUUAUUAUCCAUGCUAUAAUUGUAUUGAAUGAAGACUCAUUUACAUGUGUGGAUACAUAGACAAAACACCGUCCCUAGCAAGCCUCUAGUUGGCUAGCCAGUUGAUCAAAGAUAGUCAGUGUAUUCUGAUUAUGAACAAGGUGUUGUUGCUUGAUAACUGGAUCACGUCAUUAGGAGAAUCACGUGAUGGACUAGACCCAAACUAAUAGACGUAGCAUGUUGAUCGUGUCAUUUUGUUGCUACUGUUUUCUGCAUGUCAAGUAUUUAUUCCUAUGACCAUGAGAUCAUAUAACUCACUGACACCGGAGGAAUGCUUUGUGUGUAUCAAACGUCGCAACAUAACUGGGUGACUAUAAAGAUGCUCUACAGGUAUCUCCGAAGGUGUUAGUUGAGUUAGUAUGGAUCAAGACUGGGAUUUGUCACUCCGUGUGACGGAGAGGUAUCUCAGGGCCCACUCGGUAAUACAACAUCACACACAAGCCUUGCAAGCAAUGUGACUUAGUGUAAGUUGCGGGAUCUUGUAUUACGGAACGAGUAAAGAGACUUGCCGGUAAACGAGAUUGAAAUAGGUAUGCGGAUACUGACGAUCGAAUCUCGGGCAAGUAACAUACCGAAGGACAAAGGGAAUGACAUACGGGAUUAUAUGAAUCCUUGGCACUGAGGUUCAAACGAUAAGAUCUUCGUAGAAUAUGUAGGAUCCAAUAUGGGCAUCCAGGUCCCGCUAUUGGAUAUUGACCGAGGAGUCUCUCGGGUCAUGUCUACAUAGUUCUUGAACCCGCAGGGUCUGCACACUUAAGGUUCAACGUUGUUUUAUGCGUAUUUGAGUUAUAUGGUUGGUUACCGAAUGUUGUUCGGAGACCCGGAUGAGAUCACGGAUGUCACGAGGGUUUCCGGAAUGGUCCGGAAAUGAAGAUUGAUAUAUAGGAUGACCUCAUUUGAUUACCGGAAGGUUUUCGGAGUUACCGGGAAUGUACCGGGAAUGACGAAUGGGUUCCGGGAUUUCACCGGGGGGGCAACCCACCCCGGGGAAGCCCAUAGGCCUUGAGGGUGGCACACCAGCCCUCAAGGUUGAUGCAAUUGCCGUCGGCACAGUUUCACUUCAGUUACCAUCAGGAUUAGUGAUGAACUUAAAUCAUUGUUAUUUAGUGCCUGCGUUGAGCAUGAACAUUAUAUCUGGAUCUUAUUUAUUGCGAGACGGUUACUCUUUUAAGUCAGAGAAUAAUGGUUGUUCUAUUUCUAUGAGUAACAUCUUUUAUGGUCAUGCACCUAAUGUGAGAGGAUUUUUCAUAUUGAAUCUUGAUAGCGAUACACAUAUACAUAACAUUGAGACCAAAAGAGUUAGAGUUAACAAUGAUAGCGCCAUAUUUUUGUGGCACUGCCGCUUAUGUCAUAUUGGGGUAAAGCGCAUGAAGAAACUCCAUGCUGAUGGACUUUUGGAGUCACUUGACUUUGAUUCACUUGACACGUGCGAACCAUGCCUCAUGGGCAAGAUGACUAAGACUCCGUUCUCCGGAACAAUGGAGCGUGCAAGUGACUUGUUGGAAAUCAUACAUACCGAUGUGUGUGGUCCGAUGAGCGUGGAGGCACGCGGCGGAUAUCGUUAUUUUCUCACCUUCACUAACGAUUUGAGUAGAUAUGGUUAUGUCUACUUGAUGAAGCACAAGUCUGAAACAUUUGAAAAGUUCAAGCAAUUUCAGUGUGAAGUUGAAAAUCAUCGUAACAAGAAGAUCAAGUUCCUACAGUCUGAUCGUGGGGGUGAAUAUCUGAGUUUCGAGUUUGGUGCGUACUUAAGACAAUGUGGAAUUGUUUCACAGUUAACACCGCCUGGAACACCACAGCGUAAUGGUGUGUCCGAACGUCGUAAUCGUACUUUAUUAGAGAUGGUGCGAUCUAUGAUGUCUCUUACCGAUUUGCCGUUAUCGUUUUGGGGUUAUGCAUUAGAAACAGCUGCAUUCACUUUAAAUAGGGCACCAUCAAAAUCCAUUGAGACGACACCAUACGAACUGUGGUAUGGCAAAGGGCCAAAGUUGUCGUUUCUUAAAGUUUGGGGAUGUGACGCUUAUGUCAAAGAGCUUCAGCCUGAAAAGCUGGAACCCAAAGCGGAAAAGUGCGUCUUCAUAGGUUACCCAAAAGAGACAGUUGGGUACACCUUCUAUCUCAAAUCCGAGGGCAAAGUGUUUGUUGCUAAAAACAGAGCUUUUCUCGAGAAGGAGUUUCUCUCGAGAGAAUUGAGUGGGAGGAAGAUAGAACUUGACGAGGUUUUCGAACCUCUCAUCCCUCUGGAUGGUGGCGCGGGACAAGGGGAAACCUCUGUCGUUGCGACGCCGGUUGAGGAGGAAGUUAAUGAUGAUGAUCAUGAAACUCCGGUUCAAGUUUCUGUCGAACCACGCAGGUCGACGAGACCACGUGCUGCUCCAGAGUGGUACGGUAAUCCCGUCUUGUCGAUCAUGUUGUUGGACAACAAUGAACCUGCAAAUUAUGAAGAAGCAAUGGUGGGCCCGGAUUCCAACAAAUGGCUAGAAGCCAUGAAGUCCGAGAUAGGAUCCAUGUAUGAGAACAAAGUGUGGACUUUGGAGGUACUACCUGAGGGCCGCAAGGCUAUUCAGAACAAAUGGAUUUUUAAGAGGAAGACGGACGCUGACGACAAUGUGACCGUUUAUAAAGCUCGACUUGUGGCAAAGGGUUUUUCACAAGUUCAAGGAGUUGACUACGAUGAGACAUUCUCACCCGUAGCGAUGCUUAAGUCCGUCAGAAUCAUGUUAGCAAUAGCUGCAUUUUUUGAUUAUGAAAUCUGGCAGAUGGAUGUCAAAAUGGCGUUCCUUAACGGUUUCCUUAAGGAAGAGUUGUAUAUGAUACAACCCGAAGGUUUUGUCGAUCCUAAGAAUGCUAACAAGGUGUGCAAGCUCCAGCGAUCCAUUUAUGGACUGGUGCAAGCAUCUCGGAGUUGGAACAAACGUUUUGAUGAGGUGAUCAAAGCAUUUGGGUUUAUACAAGUGGUUGGAGAAUCUUGUAUUUACAAGAAAGUGAGUGGGAGCUCUGUGGCAUUUCUAAUAUUAUAUGUGGAUGACAUAUUGCUGAUUGGAAACAACGUGGAGUUUUUAGAGAGCAUAAAGGAUUACUUGAAUAAGAGUUUCUCUAUGAAGGACCUAGGAGAAGCUGCUUACAUUCUAGGCAUUAAGAUCUAUAGGGAUAGAUCAAAACGCCUGAUAGGACUUUCACAAAGCACAUACCUUGAUAAAGUUUUGAAGAGGUUCAAAAUGGAACAGUCCAAGAAAGGGUUCUUGCCAGUUUUACAAGGUACGAGAUUGAGUAAGACUCAGUGCCCAGCAACUGAUGAAGAUAGAGAGCAUAUGCGCUCCGUCCCCUAUGCUUCAGCCAUAGGUUCUAUCAUGUAUGCAAUGCUGUGCACUAGAUCGGAUGUUAGCCUGGCCAUAAGUAUGGCAGGUAGGUUCCAGAGUAAUCCAGGAGUGGAUCACUGGACAACGGUCAAGAAUAUCCUGAAGUACCUGAAAAGGACUAAGGAGAUGUUUCUCGUGUAUGGAGGUGACGAAGAGCUCGCCGUAAAAGGUUACGUCGAUGCAAGCUUUGACACAGAUCCGGACGACUCUAAGUCGCAAACCGGAUACGUAUUUAUUCUUAAUGGGGGUGCGGUAAGCUGGUGCAGUUCCAAGCAAAGCGUCGUAGCAAAUUCUACAUGUGAAGCGGAGUACAUGGCUGCCUCGGAGGCAGCUAAGGAGGGUGUCUGGAUGAAGCAGUUCAUGACGGAUCUUGGAGUGGUGCCAAGCGCACUGAAUCCAAUAACCUUGUUCUGUGACAACACGGGUGCCAUUGCCUUAGCAAAGGAACCACGGUUUCACAAGAAGACCAGACACAUCAAACGACGCUUCAACCUCAUCCGCGACUACGUCGAGGGAGAGGACGUAAAUAUAUGCAAAGUGCACACGGAUCUGAAUGUAGCAGACCCGCUGACUAAACCUCUUCCACGGCCAAAGUAUGAUCAACACCAGAACUGUAUGGGUGUUAGAUUUAUUACAAUGUAAUUCACAUGAUGAUGUGAGGGCUAGAUUAUUGACUCUAGUGAAAGUGGGAGACUGUUGGAAUUAUGCCCUAGAGGCAAUAAUAAAUAUAGUUAUUAUUAUAAUUCCUGUAUCAAGAUAAUCGUUUAUUAUCCAUGCUAUAAUUGUAUUGAAUGAAGACUCAUUUACAUGUGUGGAUACAUAGACAAAACACCGUCCCUAGCAAGCCUCUAGUUGGCUAGCCAGUUGAUCAAAGAUAGUCAGUGUUUUCUGAUUAUGAACAAGGUGUUGUUGCUUGAUAACUGGAUCACGUCAUUAGGAGAAUCACGUGAUGGACUAGACCCAAACUAAUAGACGUCGCAUGUUGAUCGUGUCAUUUUGUUGCUACUGUUUUCUGCAUGUCAAGUANNNNNNNNNNNNNNNNNNNNNNNNNNNNNNNNNNNNNNNNNNNNNNNNNNNNNNNNNNNNNNNNNNNNNNNNNNNNNNNNNNNNNNNNNNNNNNNNNNNNGUCGCUUGAUAAUGGGAUCACAUCAUUAGGAGAAUCAUGUGAUGGACUAGGCCCAAACUAUGAACGUAGCAUGUGAUCAUGUCAUUUUGUUGCUAUUGUUUUCUGCGUGUCAAGUAUUCAUUCCCCCCAUGAGAUCAUGUAACUCACUGUCACCGGAGGAAUACCUUGUGUGUAUCAAACGUCACAACAUUACUGGGUGACUAUAAAUGUGCUCUAUAGGUAUCUCCGAAGGUGUCCGUUGAGUUAGCAUGGAUCAAGACUGGGAUUUGUCACUCCGUGUGACAGAGAGGUAUCUUGGGGCCCACUCGGUAAUACAACAUCACAUACAAGCCUUGCAAGCAAUGUGACUCAAGUGUGAGUCACUAGAUCUUGUAUUACAGAAUGAGUAAAGAGAUUUCCCGGUAACGAGAUUGAAAUAGGUAUAGGGAUACCGACGACCAAAUCUCGGGCAAGUAACAUACCGAAGGAGAAAGGGAAUGUUAUACGGGAUUAUAUGAAUCCUUGGCACAGAGGUUCAACCAAUAAGAUCUUCAUAGAAUAUGUAGGAUCCAAUAUGGGCAUCUAGGUCCCCCUAUUGGAUACUGACUGAAGAGUGUCUUGAUUCAUGUCUACAUAGUUCUCGAACCCGCAGGUUGUGCACACUUAAGGUUCGAUGAUGUUUUAGUAUAGUUGAGUUAUAUGUGUUGGUGAUCGAAGGUUGUUCAGAGUCCCGGAUGAGAUCACAGACUUCACGAGGGUUUCCAUAAUGGUUCAAAAAACAAAGAUUGGUAUAUAGGAAGUUGGUUUUUGGAUUCCGGAAAGUUUUCGGGCAUUGCCGACAGUGUACCGGGAGUGACGAAUGGGUUCUGGGGGCCCACUGGGUGGGCCCACCACGUCCAAGGGGUCCACGUGGGUUUAUUGGAUGUACAAUAAGGUAUAAUGGGCUGACAAAGUCAUCCAAGGAAAGCCCAUGAAGAAAAAGUGGAAAAUCCAAAAGAGGUGGGAAAAUAAGGAAGGAGUCCUAAUCCAAGUGGGAUUGGAGAAGGACUCCUCCCUCCCACUUCGGCCGGCCCAAGGAGGGUUUCCUUGGUGCGCCAAGGCUUCCCAAGGCUGCCUCUCCCCUCCUCCUAUAUAUACUAGAGGUUUAGGGCUUUUGAGACAUAACUUUGCCAUGUGCAACUCAAACCUAUAUCUCGUAGUUCUUCCUCUAGAUUAGAUUUCUACGGAGCUCGGGCGGAGCCCUGCAGGAAUAGAGCAUCACCAACACCGGCGCACCGUCAUGCUCCCGGAGAAAUCAUCUACUUCUCUGUCUCUCUUGCUGGAUCAACAAGGCCAAGAUCGUCAUCGAGCUGUACGUGUGUUGAACACGGAGGUGUCGUCCGUUCUGCGCUAGGUCGGAACGGAUCAUGGGACGGAUCAUGGGACGAUGGUGAUUUGAAUCACGAAGUUGUACCACUAGAUCAACCGUGUUUCUUAAUGCUUCUCGCUUAGCGAUCUACAAGGGUAUGUGGAUCUAAUCUCCUCUCGUAGAUGAACAUCACCAUGAUAGGUCUUCGUGUGCGUAGGAAAAAAUUUGUUUGCCAUGCAAUGUUCCUCAACAGUGGCAUCAUGAGCUAGGUUCAUGCAUAGAUGUUAUCUCGAGUAGAACACAGAAGGAUUUGUGGAAGUUGAUGUUCGAUUUUCUUCCCUCCUUAGUAUUUUCUCGAUUCGGCGGUAUUGUUGGAUUGAAGAGGCCCAGACCGACAUUACUCGUACGCUUACGAGAGACUGGUUUCAUCAACUGACAUGCAACUCGGUGCAUAAAGAUGACUGGCGGGUGUCGGUUUCUUCAACUUUAUUUGAAUUGGUUUUGACCGAGGCGGUCCUUGGAGAGAGGUUAAAUAGCACUUUGCACAUCUCCGUUGUGGUUUUCCGUAAGUAAGAUGCGAUCAUACUAGAUACCCAUAGCAGCCACGUAAAACACGCAACAACAAAUUAGAGGACGUCUAACUUGUUUUUGCAGGGUAUGCUUGUGAUAUGAUAUGGCCAAUGACGUGAUGUGAUAUAUUGGAUGUAUGAGAUGAUCAUGUUCUAAUAGUUAAUAUCGACUUGCACAUCGAUGCUACGGCAACCGGCAGGAGCCAUAGGGUUGUCUUUAAACGAACGUUCGUGUUUGCACAUGCGUUUACUAUAUUUCUAGGUCGUAGCUUUAGUAGUAAUAACAUAGAUAGCACGACAAGCUCGAUGGCGGCACGAUGAUGGAGACUUGAUGAUGGAGAUCAUGGUGUGGUGCAGGUGACAAGAAGAUCAUGCCGGUGCUUUGGUGAUGGAGUUCAAGAAGCACAAGAUGAUGGCCAUAUCAUGUCACUUAUGAAUUGCAUGUGAUGUUAAUCCUUUUAUGCACCUUAUUUUGCUUAGAACGACGGUAACAUUAUAAGGUGAUCUCUCACUAAAAUUUCAAGAUGAAAUUGUGUUCUUCCCAACUAUGCACCAUUGCGACAGUUCGUCGUUUCGAGACACCACAUGAUGAUCGGGUGUGAUAGACUCAACGUUCACAUACAACGGGUGCAAAACAGUUGCACACGUAGAACACUCGGGUUAAACUUGACGAGCCUAGCAUGUGCAGACAUGGCCUUGGAACACAAGAGACCGAAAGGUCGAGCAUGAAUCGUAUAGUUGAUAUGAUUAGCAUAGAGAUGCUUACCACUGAAACUAUUCUCAACUCACGUGAUGAUCGGACUUGAGUUAGUGGAUUUGGAUCAUGUACCACUCAAAUGACUAGAGAGAUGUACUUUUUCAGUGGGAGUUCUUAUGUAAUAUGAUUAAUUGAACUAAUUAUCAUGAACAUAGUCAAAAGGUCUUUGUGAAUUAUGAUAUAGCUUGCGCUAUAGCUCUACUGUUUUUUAUAUGUUCCAAGAGGAAAUUUAGUUGAAAGAUGAUAGUAGCAACUUUGUGGACUGAGUCCGUAAAACUAAGGAUUGUCCUCAUUGCUGCGUGGAAGGCUUAUGUCCUUAAUGCACCACUCGGUGUGCUGCACCUCGAGCGUCGUCUGUGGAUGUUGCAAACAUCUGACAUACGUGUUUUUGAUGACUACAUGAUAGUUCAGUGCGUAAUACGUAAUGGCUUAGAAGCAAGGCGUCGAAGACGUUUUGAAACGUCACGGAACAUAAGAGAUGUUCUAAGAGAUGAAAUUUUGAGUUCAUGCUCAUUCCCUUGUUGAGAGGUAUGGGACCUCCGACAAGAUUCUUUAUCUACAAACUAAAGGAGAAAAGCUCAAUCGUUGGGCAUGUGCUCAGAUUGUGUGAGUACAACAAUCACUUGAAUCAAGUGGGAGUUAAUCUUCGAGAUGAGAUAGUGAUGGUUCUCCAAAGUCACUACCACCAAGCUGCUAGAGCUUCAUGAUGAACUAUAAGAUAUCAAGGACAGAUAUGAUGAUCCUUGAGCGAUUCGGAAUGUUUGACACUGUGAAAGUAGAAAUCAAGAAGGAGCAUCAAUUGUUCGUGGUUAGUAAAACCACUAGUUUCGAGAAGGGCAAGGGCUAACAUGGAUACUUCAUGAAACGGCAAACUAGUUGAUGCUCUAGAAACCCAAGACUGAACCGAAACCCAAGACCAAGUGCUUCUAUUAUGAGGGGAACAGUCACUGAGGCGGAGCUACCCUAGAUACUGGGUAGAUAAGAAGGUUGGCAAAGUCGAGAGAAGUAUAUUUGAUAUACAUGAUAUUGAUGUGUACUUUACUAGUACUCAUAUUAGCACGAGGGUAUUAGAUACCGAUUUAAUUGCUAAGUGAUUAGUAAAUCGAAAUGAAAGAUAUGGAAUAAACGAAGACUAGCUAAAGGCGAGGUGAUGAUACGUGUUGGAAGUGUUUCCAAGGUUGAUGUGAUCAGAACAUCGCACGCUCCCUCUAUCAUNNNNNNNNNNNNNNNNNNNNNNNNNNNNNNNNNNNNNNNNNNNNNNNNNNNNNNNNNNNNNNNNNNNNNNNNNNNNNNNNNNNNNNNNNNNNNNNNNNNNAAACUUUUCACUGCCGUCCGAUUCCACGUGGUUAUGCUCUUGUGAUGGUGGAUGAAGUAAAUAAGGAUUUUGAGCAGCUCGAGCUUGACCACCCUACAUGUGAAGCUGAGAAUAAUAAGUUGGUUCAUGCAUUGAGGAGUACAUGUCUAUGGCCGAAGGAGUACAUCAAUCUUNNNNNNNNNNUCCUCCUCCUCCUCUGGUGAGUGAUCAGGGCACUCCUCAUCCUCCUCCGGCAACUGAUCAGGGAACUCCUCAUCCUCCUCCGGCGAAUGAUCAGGGCACUCCGGCUCCUCCGACGCGUGAGGGCACUCUGCCUUCUUCUUCGGCUCCUCCUCCGGCGCGUGAGGACACUCCGCCUCCUUCUUCGACUCCUCCUCCGACCCAUCGGAGCAGUCCGCCUCCUUCUUCGGCUCCCCCUCCGACGCGUUGGAGCACUCCUCCUCCUUCUUCGGCUCCUCCUCCAGCACGUCGGAGCAGUCCUCCUCCUUCGGCUCCUAAUCCUCCGGCGCGUCGGAGCACUCCGCCUCCUUCUUCGGCUCCUCCUCCGGUGCGUGGGAGCACUCCGCCUCCUUCUUCGGCUCCUCCUCCAGCNNNNNNNNNNNNNNNNNNNNNNNNNNNNNNNNNNNNNNNNNNNNNNNNNNNNNNNNNNNNNNNNNNNNNNNNNNNNNNNNNNNNNNNNNNNNNNNNNNNNAGCGCACAAGCGCAAGCUGGACCACGGGCUGGCUAUUUAAAGCCACACUUGGCUCACUCCUCCCCUGGACUCUCUCUCUUUCCCUCCCCAAAUAUGUCGUCUGGACCACGAGAGCCACCCGAGCUCGAGAUCAAGCUUGAGCUCCACCAUGAGGAAUCGUCGUUGAUUCACUCGGUAGGGCCCUUCCUCGUUGUCAUUUUCCCAAGAUUUGGAGCCACCUCAACCCUGAUCCUUUCCCCCCUCUUCCCCAUGCAUUUUGCAGUCGGAGACAAUGUCGAUGACCUCCUCCUGAAGCAUCUCUACCGUGCUUCCUCCGCCGGCGACCCAGGCCUCCUCGAUGACUUCCUCCACCUCCACAAAGACGACGGAUCUCCCCUGGUUCCAUUUCCUUCAUCGGCCCACUCCGUCGUGCCCUCCCUUGCCGUCGGUGAGUUGUGCCCCCCUGUUCGCAGGGUUAAAGAUGACAGGCAGGGCCCAUGUGUCAUCCUCCCCUCUCGCCCGCUCCCUCUCUCUCUCACUCGCACCGGGGGGAACUUGUUGGGUUUGAACCCAGGCAGGCACGUGCCUGGCUCGGCCUGGCCGGCUUAGCUAGCUGGGCCUGGCUCGGCUAGCUAAUUAGGCUUGAGGGGCACAGUGUUGUUUCCUUUUUAUUUUUCUGGCAUUAUUUCCAAAAAUUCCCGUGGUUCAAAUAAUUGUCCAAAUUCAAAAAUUCCACCUCCUAAAUUCCUGUAAAAUCCUAAGAUAUUUAAUGAUGCCACUUGUGCAAUUUUUGCAAAAAGUUCUAUACACUGUAUUUAUUUAAAACACUAUUUUAAGCAUUUGUAACCUUUGUUAAAAUAAUUUUUAUUACUUUUUACACCCCAAACCAGAAACUAAUAACUUUUUUACAAAACUAAUAUCCAGCCUAAUAUUUUACAAAAAUGGCUUGGUCUUAUUUUUUCCUGUUAUUAUCAUGAUGAUAGAUUGUCUUGUUGAUGAAGGAGUUGGACAAUAAGACUUUGAAGACCCUAGAGACUAUGUUGAGCCAGGCAAGAAGCGUUAUGACCAUGGCUAUGUAACCCUUUUAUGCAUCUCAUAUGUAACUUUAUUUUGUUGCAUCUGAAUCAUGUUCAAUCAGUGACCUCCUUGGUGGGUUGUCUCCGAUAUUUCCUCGUUGAUACUUGUACUAAGCAUGACCCUACCAUCCUAUGAGGAUUGUCCGGAUGUGAAGUAGUUAUGUUGCUAUGUAGUUGCUACACAAAUAGGAUGGGAUUAUGCAUGGUGUUGGAAACAACGGUGUUUUCAAAGACUUUUUGAAAACCCCGUCGGGUGCCACUAAUUGUGGGUUAUAUGUAUUGUGAAUAGAGCCGUGGGCCAUAGUUUUCGCUAAUGUCAUCUGUCGGAUAUCGGGCUCCGAAGAACCCUAAAGAUUCGAACUCAGGUGCGUGUACGAAGAUCUCUCAUAGGCUCGCAUCACCUAACUCGCUACUCGCUGGGGAUGGCAGAGAACUCACUCGAUGGUGAGGAAACACAAAACACGACAAUUUACCCAGGUUCGGGCCGCUGAGAAGCGUAAUACCCUACUCCUGCUUUGGUGGAUUGCCUAUAAUGGAGGUUGGUGGAUGAACUGGUACAGUGUUCGAGGGCCUCCGGAGGCUGGGUGGCCUUUUUGUGGUGCAGGUGGGCGAAAUGAAUGGAUCCCCCCUCUCUAUGAAGUAACCUACUCUCUCUAUAUAUAGUGGCGGCCCGGUCAUCUUCCCUUAUCGUUUCGGCGGGAAGGGAUCCCAUAAUGGCCAAUUUUCAAGGGGCACAAGGGAACAUGCUUCCCCUGUCCAAAAGUAGUCUUCUCCUGUAAAGUGGCUACCAGCACUGUAGGGACGGGUCCAGGGAUAACGUUUGUCCUGCUGGCGGGCGGCGAUGGCCUUGUUGCAUCGGAAAGGAAACCUUUGGAAGAUGCCUUGGGAACCCCGGUUCGUCCUUGCCCCCUUUGCACGAAAGGGAAACUGCUCCGUCCUACUGUCUACUGCUCUCCUGUCCUUCCUCCGCGUCAUCCUUGACUCCUCAGGGUAUCGCCUUAGAGUAUCUGUCGCUCCGGAGGGAUCCUGAUGAGGCCCCUGUGGGUCUUGAUGAUGUUCCUCCUCGCGAGGCUUGGCCCCUCACGGGGACCUUGCCUUGAGUGGUGUCGCGCCCGAUUAUGGGCCAGCCCUGGGCUGCAGGCAGGCAGGUCUAGGUACCCCCAUUCCUAGGACGCCGACAGUAUCCCCCGGGACCAAGGUGCGCCUGGGAUGGUUUCUCCGCGAACCCUUGAGGGCAGCCUGAACCGUCGCGGGUCCCAAAUUCCUUCGGGACAGGCGGCACACGUGUCCAGCUACCAUGCGGCGACGCUCUCACUCCCCAAGGGGUCUAGGGCGCAACAGACCACGAUGGCACGAUCUCCAAGAACCGCACCAACCAUCAUUGUUACUCAUUGAAUGGCAUUGACGCGGCCGGCCCUCGCCCAAUGGCCCUCUCGGACGUGACUGCUCGGUUGUCAGGUGAGGCGGCGUGGGCAGCAAUGUGCCUGUCGGCCCACCUCGCGGCACCUGACUUCGUAACAGCAGGCCUUCCCUUGCAACGGCACCAGAAGAAUGCUGCUAGCACUCUCCGGCAAUCGAAACUAGAAGAAUGUUAUUGACGGCCCACCAGCGCAUGGGAUCGUAGCAGUUUUCGAGGGUAGAGUAUACGACCCAAAUUUGUUGAUCGCCUAUAGGAGGUGAGAGGAUACUCUCAAGUAUUAGCAGCUGAAUAUGUCAGAUUCAACCACACCUGAAAGAUUAGUAUCUGCAAGCAAAGUAUCAGUAGCAAAGUAGUAUGAUAGCAACGGUGUCAGAAACGAUCUGUUGACACGGCAGACUAUUUCUAACGAUUGUAUCAAUGGUGCCAAGUUGUCGCGUUGACGGAAAUUGUCAGUUCCCGUCAACGACAAGUGAACCAAAAUUGUAGCAGGUAGCAUCAGUGUAACGAGUAAUAGCAGUGGCAAGGAACAGUAGUAGUGAUAGCAGUAGCAAGUAGCAACAGUAGCAAGCGACAGUAGUAGUGACAGUAGCCACAAAGCAAGACAAGUAACAGUAGUAGAGCAAGACAAGUAACAACAUCAGUAGGACAAACUCGUAGGCAAUGGGUCGGUGAUUUGUUUGGAUGAUAUUCAUCAUGCAACAAUUAUAACACGGAGAGAUAUGUGGAUAGCUCCCGAUCGUCAAUGUGAUGUAGGCAUGCAUUCCGUGUGUCGUCAUAUGUGCUUAGGGAAAAGAACUUGCAUGACAUCUAUUGUCCAUCCCUCCCGUGGCAGCGGGGUCCAAAAGGAAACUACGGGAUAUUAAGGUUCUCCUUUUAAUAAAGAACCGGACCAACGCAUUAGCACUUGGUGAACACAUGAACUCCUCAAACUAUGGUCAUCACCGGGAGUGGUUCCGGUUAUUGUCACUCCUNNNNNNNNNNNNNNNNNNNNNNNNNNNNNNNNNNNNNNNNNNNNNNNNNNNNNNNNNNNNNNNNNNNNNNNNNNNNNNNNNNNNNNNNNNNNNNNNNNNNACCGUCGUUAGGUUUGACGCACUUCACGAGAUGCGGCCCCGCCUCCCCCUACAACGAACGGAGCUCCAGGACGGCACCAGGGGUAGCAAGUGGCCUUAUGACAGGUAAGGCUCCUGAAUCGGUGCCGAGGAGCCCCCUUUGGUGCUCGAGCGAUUCCCCAUUUUGUCCUUUUGGUCAUCACCCCACGGCGCCCUGAGGCCUCCCGAGACUCUUUGUGGUGGUAUCGUGCUUCGAUCUGGGCCCCCGAGCGGGGGUCAAUCACUGAAAGUGUUUGCCCCUGGGACGGCAAGUCCUUGCUUCCACGCUCCUUGGCGCCUAGAGGUGGUGCAGAGCGUUCAGCUCCUCAGAAAAUUUCAUCUAGAAAAGGAGGCUUGAAAACCAGCGAAACGAGAAAGCGCAAGAGAAAAUUCUCCCCUUUUUGUUUUUCAAACAUCAACUUUUGAAAUCGACAAAUUUAAGUCCAGCACAGGAUUAUUCAAGCUCCAGGAAGAAGCAAGGAAACGCCGCANGGGGGGGGGGGGGGGGGCGUAUACAGCCGCAGCUCGUUAUUACGUGAGAAUGUCACGGGGGUGUAUCUGGGAGGUUGCGAGGACGCUUUGGCCUCGCUAGUGUCCCUACCCCCUAGGAAUAAGCANNNNNNNNNNNNNNNNNNNNNNNNNNNNNNNNNNNNNNNNNNNNNNNNNNNNNNNNNNNNNNNNNNNNNNNNNNNNNNNNNNNNNNNNNNNNNNNNNNNNACGAUUAUCUUGAUACAGGAAUUAUAAUAAUAACUAUAUUUAUUAUUGCCUCUAGGGCAUAAUUCCAACAACAACAUCCAAUGAUGGGCAAAAAUGAGAGUGAUCACAAGGUUUGAGCCUAUUUCAAGAAAGUUGGUAAUGUAAACAUAGAAAACUCUAAAAAUCAACAUAAUGAGGUUACUGUAGAUCUAUUUAAGCAAAUAUAUACCCCAAAUUGAAAACUUGGUGUAGCAUCAUUAUUUGGGGACAACAUAAGUCCUGCAAAGUUUGAGAGCAAUCGAAGAAACUUGACAAUGUAAAGUUGCCCAAAUUUGGUUCUGGACAGAGAGAGUUUUGAAAUAUUCUGGUGGACCAAACCAACUUGGAUUGAGGUGAAACUUGCCAAGAUCAUCACAUAUAUUAUGUGUGAUUUGACACAAUUUUCUGGAAUUAUUUGAGAAUAUCUCCUAUGAAAAUAUUCCAAAAGCUUAAAGUAGGAAGCAAGGGUUUUGAGGGGUUUUGUCCAAUAUUUUAAACAUGACCAUGGGUUGAAACUCUUAUAUAUGGAAACUAUAUUUCCACUGGGUUUUCCUAAAUUUUCUUAAAUAUUUUAAAAGCAUUAAAAUAAAUUUUCCCUAUAAAAGACCAUUUCUGGCCUCAGAUAAAGGUAUUUAAUUAAAAUAGGGAGAUAACUUUGAAAAUGAUAAUUUCGUUGUUUUGGGACGUCUUUCUGAUAAUAGGGUCCAAAUAAAUUAUUUAGGGCAAACCAUCUACCCUAAUUUGAGGACUUGUAGUACAAACCUGAAUUUAAGGGUUUUUGGAAACUUAAUUUAAAGAAAAGCUUUUGACCAAAAUAAUAGUUAAUAAAAAUAGUUCUUGGUCCCGUACACAUGAUAUGGCCAUUGGGCACGUAUUUGCAGCAAGAAGAUGAGUUUUCGUGGAGGGGAUUUUUUGUGAAUAAAACCCAAAUAGGCAAACAAGCAUAUAGCAACCAAUUCAAGCAUCACAUGUACAUAAAAGUUUUAAAUAGUUUCAAAUUUUAUGAAAUCAUCAUGUGACAAAGUGGUACAAACAUAGGAUGGGACAGCAACCUUCGAAGAGCAUCAUCUGCACGAACCCCACUCAUGGAGUCAUCGUUGCCCCCGGGUCCCACCACACGCGUCUUCGACUUCUCUCUCACUGUGAGAAACAAAUAUAGACACACUCCUUCGCAAACCGGACCGUCAAUAUUAGAAGGACAAGCUGCAACCCAGCUCCGCACACCAUCAUCAUCGUCGCCACAGAAGUCACAACGCCAACCGCCCACACUGCCGGUUGAGCAUCUACCGACCAUGAUGCCGUGCACAUCCAGCCUGCCGAAAAUGCAAAAGGGAGCAAGAUCUCGAAGACAGCGCUACGCAGAGACGCCGCCGCCGUCAGAUCCAACUGAAGGAUCUUGACUUUCACCUGAAGAUCUUGAUCCGAAAGGAGAGCUUGCAAAUAAGCUCCUUGAUGGCGUUUCCAAAAAAGAUUGUGACCGCCACGGACGGCGUCGCAGCCGGCCGGCGAAAAAACCAGCCAAGCUUUCGUUCGGAGCAGCAGGACCUUCACUCCCAUGCAGUUGACCAGCACCUCCGCUGACCCUUGCACUCCGGCACAGCAAUCACGCCAUUGCCACAGAGGAUCCACUUGAUAGAUCGAUGAGAAAGAAGAUUCUUUUACCUCUUUCCAGGAAACAGAUUAGCACUACGGUGACUAGAUGUAGCAAAAGGAGAUCCUUUCACACCAUGACUUCCGCGAAAUUUCUGCGUCGAUCCCUGUGCAUCUCCUCAAGGUUUUCUGAAACUAUGUAGAAGGCUCACUGAUCCAUCGAAUAUUCAGAUGGACUAGUAAGAGACAACAGAAUCGUAAGUUCAUAAACACAUAUAACAAUAUAGAAACAAUACAGACAUAUGAACUGAGAAUACAGCAGGAAGGAGCAGCUAACAGUUGCUUCAAAACACCAUAUAUAAUAUCGCAAACAGAACACAAUGACUAGAACAUUGGAAAAUAGGAGUAGGAGGCAGCGCUUAUUAUCACCCCAUCUUCUCUCGCUCCCACGGCGAGGAGUAUACGGUACUAGAUGGAAUGAAUCACCAUAGAUAGUCGAACCACACUUAAUUUAACACAGUACACGAAACAAAGCAAACGGGACGGGUCGAAGGGGCGCGCUUGCUUGCUUGCUUCCCUACACGAAUGCGGCGGCGGCCGCCGCGGCCCCAGCGGUGCGGAGGAUCUGGUAGUAGACCUGCGGGUUGGCCACAAACGCCGUGCGGGAAAUCAGGAAGCCGGCGGCACCAGGCGCCUUCAUCAUGGCGCCGGCGGCGGCUGGGGCGGCUGCAGCAGGCCAGAGAAAGUAGGCGCCCACGGCGCCCCCGAUGACCAUCGCCGCGGUCCCCACGGCACCGUCGCGCGUGGAGAGCUUUGCAGGCAGGUACGGUUUGGCCAACGAGAUGGUGGAGGCCAUGGCCGCUCCUGUAUGGUUCUUGACGUAGCCGAGACCGGUGACGAUGUCGCCUGUGCUCAUCUCGGUUAGCUUUGCGGGAAGGUACGGCUUGGCCAACGAGACUGUGGAGGCCAUGGCCGCUCCUGUAUGGUUCUUGACGUAGCCGAGACCCGCGACGAUGCCACCCGUGUUCAUCUCGGUUAGCUUUGAGGGGAGGUACGGCUUGGCCAGCGAGACGGUGGAGGCCACGGCGCUCGCCUGUUGCUUGACGAGGUCGAGACCGGAGAAGAGGAGGUCGCGGGUGCUCAUCUCGCCUGGUUUUCCUUUCCGAUUUGUGGUCGUUUGUGUGGACUUAUACCUCACUAAAUGGAUGAGACGACGCAAAGCGUGGAUUUAUAGCGACGAAGGUGAUCUAUACCUAGACAACGACGCGCGACGACCUUGACUACCAACAGUACUAUCGACAGCACUAACAUGUCACCAUAUGAAGAAGAAUCAAAAGAUUACAAAAGAGGCUAUAUAAAAAUCAUUCACCGCUGGUCCCUUUGUACCUACUCGGCUAAAGCACAGGAUGCCCAGGCGUGGUGCGGAAGGCAGUCACCUCGACCAACUCUACUUUCCAUGCCAUGAUAGACUGAUACACCCAUCUAAACAACCAAGUGUACGGAUUAUCUAUAAUUUAUUAAACCAACUCUACCGCACGACCCCAUUUCGUUCGUUCUUAGUUCGUUUAGAUUAAACGGACGAAUAGCUGAACCCGACGUGCAGUCCCAAAUGAACAAAUAUCUGAUUUUCGUCCAUUUUCAUUCUAUUCCGGGCCCAAACAUGCGUCGCGUUUGGAGUAAAACGGACAACGUGCGGACGGGCGGGACACGCGUCCUUGUCCUCCCCAUGGCCCGCCUGUCGGGACACUGGCACUUCAUUCAUUUCCAACGCCUCCAUCCGCCCUCCCCGCCCCACCUCGCCGUCGGAGCCGCCACUAUUUUUUCAGCCGCCUCCUCACUGCUCACCCCCCGGCCGUCCAUACCAAACCAAGUCUCGCCAUGGCCGCCACCACGCCCACGCUUUCGUAGGAAUUUUGGUCGUCUUUUGGAGAAGUUUUGGCCGUCGCCUUCGUAUCUGGUGCCAGAGGGGAUACGACCGCCGGGUGCUCUAUAGCGACCUGUAGCCGGCCGCCAAACGACCCUCCUGCAUCGAGGUGAUUUCCGCAGCCUAUUUGUCACCACGACCGCAAGGUUUCUAACACUUUGCCAACAAAGGUAUGGACAAUGGAGAUGAAUUUUUCUUCAACCACUUCUUUUGUUCAUCGGAUGAUGCGUCCUCGGAUGACGAAGAUCUUGUGGUGGUUGCACCGGUCGUUCACGACCACAUUGAAAGACAGCGGCCUCGCUACAGGCGGUCAGUCCUGGGCCGUGCUCCCAACCUGAACCACAUCAGAGAGAGAGAGGCGACGCCAUGCUCUAUGUCGAUUACUUUGAGAAUACCACACUCUUUGAACCGAAGAAAUUCCAUCGUUGUUUUCGUAUGGCAAGACAUAUGUACAGUCGUAUCCGAGAGAGAGUGAUUCGUCAUGACCCAUUCUUCGAGUGCAAAACGGAUGCCCUUGGCAAGCUUGGAUUCUUCUCUUAUUAGAAAUGCACCGCGGCCAUCCGCAUGCUUGCAUAAGGUAUUCCACGCGAUUUUGUGGAUGAGUACGUGCGCAUGAGUGAGUUCACAUGUCUGAUGUCAAUGUACAACUUCUGCAAUGCCGUGGUGGCAGUGUUUGGCCCUCAAUACUUGAGGCAGCCAAAUGCUGCUGAUACAAAAAGGCUGUUGGUAAUCAACGCCGAUAGAAGCUUUCCAGGCAUGCAUGGCAGCAAAGAUUGUAUGCACUAGGAGUGGAAGAACAGUCUAUUUGCUUGACAGGGCCAGUACAAGGGGCAUGUGAAAGCGUGCACUCUCAUAUUAGAAGUUGUGGCUUGACAAGAUCUUUGGAUAUGACAUUCUUUCUUCAGCAUGGCAGGUUCUCACAAUGAUAUCAACGUGCUGCAGCGUUCUCCAGUCUUCGCAAGGUUUGCACAAGGCCAUUCUCUACCUAGCAACUUUGAGGUCAAUAGCCACCACUACAACAAGGGAUACUACCUAGAUGCUGGUAUAUAUCCUAAGUGGUCAACUUUUGUGGAGACAAUCUCGAAACCCCAAUGUGAUAAGAGACAGAGAUUUUCCCAAAUGCAAGAGAGUGCUAGAAAGGAUGUGGAGCGUGCUUUUGGUGUGCUUCAAUCCCGAUGGGGUAUCGUUCGAAACCCUUCACUGAACAUGGAUGAAGGGAAGCAUUGGAGGUGAUGACUACUUGUGUGAUCAUGCACAACAUGAUCAUCAAGGACGAGCGUGAUAACAACAUCUUCGACCAAGGAUUUGAUUUUUGAGGUGAAAAUGUUGAGCCCCUGCAGCAAGAACCGGCCACAUUUGAACAGUUUACCCAAUUCCAUCGUGAAAUGCGUGAUUGCACACUCAUUUGGAGCUUUAAAAUGACUUCGUUCAGCACAUGUGGAAUCACAUUGGCAACCAAUAGAUGUAUUGGUUUAUUAUGUUUAUUCAAGACAAUUUCAAUUUGGUUGUAAAACCAUUUUAUUCGAGACAAUUUUGAUUGGGUUGUAAAACUAUUUUUAUUUGAAACAAUUAAAAUUUGGACGUGCAAACAUUGAUGAAUAUGAAUAUAUGGGCAUAUUGGUCGUGGCGGACAGGAUGCGACCAAAGGAUGCGUCCGCAUGUUGGGUGCACGGCCACCGCAUCCGAGGAAAGGCUGAGAGACGACCCCAUUGCCCUACCCAAAUGUCCGGGAAAAACGGAUGUCCGUUUGGGGUCGUGCGCUGAAGUUGGCCUUAGGAACAAGAGGUAGGCAGGAAUGAUCAAGCGUACAACACACAUAAGGGCAUCUCCAGCCGCGCCCCAAGAGGCCACUCAUGCCCCUUUUUAGACGCCGUCGUUACAAAAUCCCCCCCAGUCGGGCCCCCAGGACGUCGUUUUCCGCCAGAUGGUCCAUUUUUCGGGCCGGUGAACCCAGGCCGAACCCAGCACGCUGGGGGCACCUAGGUGCUUUGACAGAAGGAAAAGUUGUGUGUAGGACACUACUGUGAGGCGAGAAAUGCCUUUUCGCCGCUAGAUUCGCCCUCGUGCGCCACGGAACACCUCACCGCCAUGUCGAUCCCGACGCCGCCAACGUGCCCUCAGGUGCUGCCGCGCCGAUUGAAAAUGCCAUUUCCCUGCCAUUUUCGCGGUAGCCUCCAUCCUGCUCUCCCUGGGCGAGCUUUUCAAACCGCUCAGGCAGGGAUACCGGCGACUGCCCACCAACUACGCCAUUCAGGUGUUUGGUGAUUAGCCUGCUCGGUAAU